GUUGUAGAUCUCAAGCAUCUUUGGUGGGAGAGACUGGUGUUGAUGAUGUUGUCAAAGAGUCCGUGGUAAGUGAAUACUAAAACAUUGAAUUGCAAAGAAAUACAUUAGAUGGUGUUGUUGGACUGACUUAGGUGAAUUGUGUUACUAAGUAUCCACUUCAUUCCUUUUUUGUUCAUUAGUUGGGAUUUGUUGGCACAGACCAACUCCAAAUAAUUUGAUGCUAAUUGUGCAUGUCUGUCAUAGUUGAUAUUCUUUUUGUUCCAUUUUAUGCCAUUAGUCAUGCAUCUUGCGGUAAUGAAUCAGAAGCUGGGAAAUCUAUUUGACGCUGUGUUGUUGUGAUGUCUUACCUGUUAUUUAUUUGCUUUCACAUGCCCUUCCUUAGUCAUGGUAUUUUUAUGUUCAAUCCUUAAUAUGUCAAUUCUUUUACUGUCAUUCUUUCUUCAGUAAUUUGUAAAUGAUUUUUUUUGUUGAGAUUUAUAUAACGACUAUGAUUUGUUUGUUGGUGAUUCGCAGAAGGAUGAUCCCAAGGGAAAGGGAGUUUUGUUGGAUGGGGAUGACCUAGAUAAUCUUGUACAGGAUUCCUCAGUACAGGGGAAGGAUUAUCAGGAAAAGUUGGAUGAGAUGUAAGAAGAGUAAUUGAGAUAUUGAUUGAGGAUGUUUAUUUGAUUGAAGAGUAAUUUCGUGUUUUCCUGUCUUGGUGUAAUAUAGGUUGGCGGCAUCCCUUGCAGCUGAAGAAGAACGAAACUUUACUAGCAAAGCAUCGACUUCAGCUGCAGCAAUCCCGUCAGAGGAGGAUGAGGAAGAAGACAGCGACGGAGAUGAGGAAAUUUUAUUGGUAAUAUGUGGUCUUCGUACUACAUCUUUCUCUUGUUUUAUUUAUUGUUGCUUAAGUUACAGAUAUUCAGGGGAUAUAAAUUGGUUAUGUUGAAGAUACUUUAGUUAAGCAAUCAACACCACUUGUCAACUUGUCUGCUCCUCUUUCUGCAAAGGGAAAAAUUGCUUAUUCUGGAUGAAAUCCUCAUUUGCUUAGUAAAGAAUCAUGAUAAUGUCUUUGGAAUUAUGUGUCGUUUUUUCGUCUUUAUUAAGGAGUUAUCUGAUACUUUACCAUCCUCAUCUGCUAAUAAGAUUUUGUCUACCUUUCUAGCCAGUAAUGGAUGGGAAUAUCGACCCAGCUGUUCUGGCUUCUCUCCCUCCAUCCAUGCAACUUGAUCUCCUUGCUCAGGUAAUUAACUAUAUUUACACCAUAUCUUUGCAGCAUGUUAAAUUUCAUGGACGUUUCAGAUUAUUUAAUAAUGUCUUUACUUGUAGAUGAGAGAAAAAUUGAUGGCAGAAAACCGGCAAAAGUACCAAAAGGUCAAGAAGGUGAGUUACAUAAAUCACUGGCUCAUUCUUGGUCCAGUUAUGUAUUUGAAUCUCUAUGUAUAAGGAGACGCGGAACACUGACUAUGGAAGUAAUUAUGUAUAGGCCCCUGAAAAGUUUUCUGAAUUGCAAAUAGAAGCAUAUCUUAAAACUGUAGCCUUCCGUCGCGAAAUAAAUGAAGUUCAGAGAUCUGCUGGUGGAAGGGCUGUUGGUGGAGUUCAAACUUCUAGGAUAGCUUCGGAAGCAAACAGAGAGUUUAUAUUCUCGUCUUCUUUUGCUGGUGAUAAAGAGUGAGUUUCAGUUUGAAGUCUUAUUAAAGAAUAAGGUUCUUUCUAAAGUGAAAAUAACUGAUAUAUUUAAUUUGUUCUAGAGUACUGGCAUCUGCCAGAGAAGGAAGAAAUGAUGAAAAUCAAAAGAAAACGUCACAACAGUCUUUGCCAGUCUCCGUCAAGAAUGCUUCCCCGCUGAAAAAAUCAGAUGCUACCAUUGAGUUGGAUAGAGAUGAACCUAAAAAUCCUGAUGAAAAUAUUGAAGUAUAUAUAGAUGAAAGGGGACGUUUUAGAAUAAGGAACAGACACAUGGGAAUCCAAAUGACACGUGAUAUCCAGAGGAACUUACAUUUGAUGAAAGAAAAGGAGAGAACAGCUUCUGGUUCUAUGGCUAAGAAUGAUGAAACAUUCAGCGCCUGGGAGAACUUUCCUACUGAGGACCAAUUUCUUGAAAAAUCACCUGUUGAGAAAGAUGUUGUGGACCUGGAGAUCCAGAAUGAUGAUUCCAUGCUGCAUCCUCCAUCUUCCAUAGAGAUAUCAUUUGACCAUGAUGGUGGUGGAAAAGAUCUCAAUGAUGAAGAUGAUAUGUUUCUUCAAUUGGCAGCGGGAGGACCAGUGACAAUUAGUUCUACAGAAAAUGAUCCUAAAGAAGACACUUCACCGUGGGCUUCUGACAGUGAUUGGGAAGAAGUGCCUGUUGAACAGAAUACUUCUGUCUCUAAGCUUGAAGCGAAUUUAAGCAAUCAGCAUAUCCCCAAGGACAUUAGUAUCGCUGAGGGUGUAGCAUGGGAAGAAUAUAGUUGUAAAAAUGCCAAUAACUCCGUGGAGAAUGAUACAGUAACAAAGAUCACAAAAGGAUAUCUGGAAGAAGAAGCUGAUCUGCAGGAGGCUAUCAAGAAAAGUCUUCUUGAAUUACACGAUAAGGAAUCCGGGGAUGUCCUUGAAGAAAAUCAAUCAGUAAGGGUAAAUCUUGUUGUUGACAAGCCAAGCGAAGAUAGUCUUUGUUCUAGGGAAACGGUUGGUGAAGCUGAGGAAGAGAGAUUUCUGGACGAAAUAACAAUCUUGAAAACCAGUGGUGCUAUAAGUGAGCAGUCCAACACUUCUGUAGCGGGCAAUGCAGAUGGUCAGAAAGGGAUAACCAAACAAUUUGGUACACACCCUUCUUCCGGUUCUAAUAACGUUAGCCAUGCUGUGAGCAAUAAAUUGUCAAAGGUAAAAUCAGUUAUCUCACCCGAGAAAGCAUUAAAUGUUGCUAGUCAAAACCGCAUGCUAUCCACCAUGGCUAAACAGCACAAUGAAGAAGGUUCUGAAAGUUUUGGUGGAGAAUCUGUUAAAGUGUCUGCUAUGCCCAUAGCUGAUGAGGAAAUAACUGGUUUUCUUGAUGAAAAAGAUAAUGCUGAUGGUGAAUCAUCUAUCAUGAUGGACGAUAAGAGAGAUUAUAGUAGACGUAAAAUCCAGAGUCUUGUCACUGAAUCAAGGGACCCUUCUCGUAAUGUCGUCAGAUCGCGAAUAGGGAUACUACAUGACACAGAUUCACAAAAUGAAAGAAGGGAGGAAAAUAACUCUAACGAGCACACUUUCAAUAUUGACAGUUCAACAGAUUUUGAAGAGAAAGGCGUGCCUGUUGAAUUUUCAGAGGCAAAUAUAGAGGAGGAAAUUCGAGUUCUCGACCAAGAAUUCGUAAGUUUAGGUGAUGAACAGAGAAAACUUGAGCGGAAUGCUGAAUCUGUGAGCAGUGAGAUGUUUGCAGAAUGCCAGGUUUGCCCCUUGUCUUUAUACAUAUGAGUCAUUGUCCUCUUUAUACAGCCCUUUUGCAAACUUUCCGAAGUUUCUGUUCGUGUUUGAUUUGACAACAAACUUAUAAUGCUUUGUCGAUCUUGGUUUUCCGUAGGAGCUACUCCAAAUUUUUGGCAUACCGUACAUCAUAGCUCCCAUGGAAGCAGAGGCACAGUGUGCAUUUAUGGAACAAUCAAACCUUGUUGAUGGCAUUGUCACUGACGAUUCUGAUGUAUUCUUGUUUGGAGCAAGGAGCGUGUACAAAAAUAUAUUUGAUGAUCGUAAAUAUGUGGAGACAUACUUUAUGAAGGUGUGCAUUUCCUUUCUUACACUCUGUUUUCCAACAUGUGGAUUUAAGUACCUCAUUUCUUUUUAUUUUGGCUGUGAUGAUCACAUAAGCUUCCAUCAUACUAUCUAUGGUUUGUCCUCUGUUAUAACUUCUUAGCUCUUCUGUAGUUUCCUCUGGAUUGUAACUUUUUUGGUAGUAGGUUAAAUUUUCCUUUAUCAGGAAUAAGUUGAUACAUUGUUUCGGUAGUAAGUUGAUAUAUUUGUAUUUAUCGAUCUGUUUGAAGUUACAAUUUAACCGCAUGCAUUCACUUUUUCAAAUGUCUGGUGAUUACAUCUCUAAUCUCUUUUGAUUUUUCAGGACAUUGAGAAGGAGUUAGGCUUGAGCAGAGAUAAAAUAAUCCGCAUGGCAAUGCUUCUAGGAAGUGAUUACACAGAAGGAAUCAGGUUAGCUGAGGUUUUAACUGCAUAAGGUCAAAGUUCCGCUCUUUAUGUAAUUGAUAUCAUAAUUGUUUUGACAUGCAGUGGUAUUGGUAUUGUCAAUGCUAUUGAAGUUGUGACUGCUUUUCCCGAGGAGGAUGGGCUUCAGAAAUUUCGUGAAUGGGUUGAAUCACCUGAUCCAACCAUUUUAGGAAAGACUGAUGCAAAAACAGGUUCAAAGGUAAAGAAGCGUGGGUCUGCCUCCGUAGAUAAUAAAGGAAUCAUCUCAGGUGCCUCGACUGAUGACACCGAAGAAAUCAAGCAAAUCUUCAUGGAUCAGCAUGUAUGGCUCUUUUACCAUAACUUAAUGUUAAAUUUAUUAUGGUCCAACUUGUUCAAGAUUGACAAAACCUUUCUCCUAAUUUGAUUACGAUUUGAAUUUUACAGAGAAAGGUAAGCAAGAACUGGCAUAUUCCAUUGACUUUCCCUAGUGAGGCUGUUAUAUCAGCCUACUUAAAUCCGCAAGUGGAUCUGUCGACUGAGAAAUUCUCAUGGGGCAAACCUGAUCUUUCAGUACUUAGAAAGUAAGUUGUUCCUUUACUUAACAUUUCAUCUAAACAGUAUGGCAUAGCUUGACCUUUUUUUUUGGAGCCACUUACAGCGGCAGAAAGGUUUCAAUGAAUCUGAAGUAUAUGAAAAAUAUAUAUAUCAUGACUUGUCCGAUGGACCCGGUUUCUGUAAUAAUCUACUUAUCAAUUUAUGAAACAAUGUCCUGAGUUCUGAUUCUGUAGUAUCACUUUUUGUGAAGGCUAUGCUGGGAAAAGUUUAAUUGGAACGGCAAGAAAACAGAUGAACUACUACUACCAGUCUUGAAGGAGUAUGAAAAGCGCGAGGUCUUCAUCUAACAUUUGAUCUCUUAUCGUUGAUAUGCUUAUGAAUAAAUAAUAUGAACAGAAUCUGACAAUUUGUUUUCUUUCCACGAAGACGCAACUUCGGAUUGAAGCUUUCUAUUCCUUUAAUGAAAGAUUUGCAAAGAUCCGUAGUAAAAGAAUCAACAAAGCUGUCAAAGGAAUUGGUGGAGGUCUGUCGUCAGAUGUGGCCGAUCAUACUCUCCAGGAAGGUCCAAGAAAACGAAAUAAGAAAAAAGUUGCUCCUCAUGAAACUGAAGAUAACAACACUUCAGACAAAGAUUCACCUAUAGCCAAUGAGAAAGUGAAAAACAAAAGGAAGCGCUUAGAAAAACCAUCUAGUAGUAGAGGUAGAGGCAGAGCCCAGAAAAGAGGACGAGGAAGAGGAAGAGUCCAAAAAGAUCUCCUUGAGCUAUCCGACGGCAGUUCUGAUGAUGAUGAUGACGAUGACAAGGUAGUGGAAUUGGAGGCAAAACCGGCCAAUCUUCAAAAAGUGCGAAAGGUAAGCUUUCUUAAUGGAACCAAAUUACUUCUUUUAAUUGAUUAUGUAGUGGGUUCACUUUGUUAUCUGUCAUUCCCCAGUCAACACGAUCUCGGAAUCCUGUGAUGUACAGUGCAAAAGAAGAUGAUGAAUUGGACGAGUCAAGAAGCAAUGAAGGAUCUCCGAGUGAGAAUUUCGAAGAGGUUGACGAAGGCAGAAUAGGAAAUGAUGAUUCUGUAGAUGCAUCAAUCAACGACUGUCCUUCCGAAGACUACAUUCAAACGGGAGGUGGGUUCUGUGCAGAUGAAGCUGAUGAGAUUGGAGAUGCUCAUUUGGAAGAUAAAGCUACCGAUGAUUACAGAGUGAUCGGUGGCGGAUUCUGUGUUGAUGAAGAUGAAACAGCUGAGGAAAACACAAUGGAUGAUGAUGCAGAAAUUUUAAAGAUGGAGAGUGAAGAACAACGAAAGAAAGGUAAACGUCGAAACGAAGAAGAUGCAUCAUUGGAUGAGAAUGUUGACAUUCAUUUUGGGAAUUCUUCAGCUGGAGGAUUAAGUGCGAUGCCUUUCUUGAAGAGAAAGAAGAGAAAAAACUGAAAAAACUUCGUUUAGUUUUAUAUUUUAGUAAAUGGUAAAAGUAAUUAGGGGAGUAAAAAAUGUAUGAUAUUUGAAAUUUUCUUAUGUUUAACUGUUUUGAGAGAAUCAACAAAUGAUUAUGAUGUGAAUAGAAUUAGAAUCUUGAAGUUACAAGUUUUAAGUGGUUUUGCGGCAAACGAUAAAGGUAAACAGUAAACGUUAAAAAGAAUGAGAAUCAAACAGUUUUAUGAUCCAUUGACGAUGGUCUCCUUUUACCAAACCCUUUGUUUCUCGAGAAAAAAACAUUCUUCUACAUAAAAUUUCUCAACAAGUUUUGAGUCUAACUACAUUUUUCACUGAAAUAUUUGUUUGCCUUCGAGUUGACCCAGGGACCCGGAUACUCACGGGCUCGGUUGUAACAUGAAGCCCACUGUUAAUCAAAUCAUAUGUUAUCAGAAACUGAAUUUUGAAAAACCUUUCUCUUAUUUAUAUUUUUGAGAACGGUUUCCAAAAAUGAUAUUUUCCAAAAUUUUCGAAAAGAAAUAUAUGAUUCAAAAAUAAACUGAGAAAUGUGAAGAAGCACUAACAAGUGACAACCAAACAUUCAUUAGUUUAGGCUGUUGACCCCAAAAACAAAUAUAAAGUUUAGGCUUCAAACCUCUAUUCACGUUACAUGAUUAUAUUAGGGAUAACCAUAACAAUCUAAUCGAUUAAAUCCUUCAUCCAAAUUCAAAUUAUAUGAUUUUGAAGAAACUGAUUGAGUUCCUUUUGUUACAAGAUUGUCUUUGGCAGAAAGAAUAUUUUGAAAUGGGUAAACAAUAAAUUAUUGAAAAACGACCAAGAUUUGAGAACGUGCAACUUUCCCAAACAUCAGACACCAGAUUCAAUCUUCCAUAUGGACCAUAUCUCAUCGGCACUGGUUGCUAUUAUUGUGUAACGAUAGAAUCGUGAAAAACAAAUACAAAAUAGAAUAAAUGAUCUUAAUAUACCAAAUUGAGAAAGAAAAAAAUACAAAAUAAAUAUGUGAUUGUAUAUAUAGACGUUUUAUGAAUAUAUGUCUAGAGAUGUAUCACAUCACAUCACUGAAACAUAUAUUUUUGUAGUUUUACUUUUACUAUGUUUAGAUUGGUUAGAGAUGCAACUGUAGGUUAAUUGUUGUAAAUGUAGCUUUGUUUUUUUUUUCUCUGUAUAAAAUAUCUUAUAGUAUCUAAAUAUUUAAUAUAACUGUUUUGGAAAAAGACUCAAAUAUGAACAAACACAAAAUAUUUCGAGAGGUAUUACUGGUAAAGUCUUAUUGGUAAAUCAAAGUCUGGAGACAUUACCAAUUCACAUACAUAUUUUGGUAGAGUAACUAUUAAGUUUAAAAUUAUAUUAUCGAAUUACAGUUAAACCUUUAUAAAUUAAUACUCGAUAAAUUAAUAAUCUUUACAAAUUAAUAAAUUCUUCCAGUCUCGAGUUGGGACCAGUGUAAAAAGUGACACAAAUCGAUAAAUUAAUAAGAUAAUAACUUUUUUGAAAGUCCUAUGUAAAUAUAUGGUCCCAUCAAUAUCAUAAAUUAAUAAUUGUAUAAAUGUAUCAAUUAUAUAUAUACAUUAUAUGUAAGAAAUUUUUUUGAAAUAUAAUUCUAAUAAUUUUUUGCUUAAAUUUGUAUUUAUUCUUAUUUAAAAUUUAGAUUUAGUAUUUUACUGUAUCAAAAACUUUUAGUGUUGUUUUCUAAACAUGAUAUUAUGUUUUACUUGUAAUUGAUUUUUGAAAGAUAUUUUCUAGAAUGAAAAAAAUCCUUUAGAAAUUUUUGAAAAGUUACUAAAUUAGGAAAAUCUCUCUAUAAAUUAAUAAAUAUUAAUUUAUCGAUAAAUUAAAACUUCUCUAAAUUAAUAAAAUAUUGCAGUCCCAACAUUAUUAAUUUAUAGAGGUUUUACUGUAUAUGUAUUUGUUGUAACUCACGGGUUCAAUAGUGAUAAAGGUUAAUAUUUCUAUAUCAUGAUUGAAUUUGAUUCCCAUUGAACAUUAACUAUGCAGAUUAAUGGCGACAAACUAACGGUAAUCUUUAACAUCGGUGUUGAUAAAUCAUGACGAAGUGCUUAUGUGAAAAGUCGUUCACAAAAUCGUUUACCAUAGAAAAAUGAAAAGAUUUAAGAUUUGUUAAUCAUGAAUAUUAAGACAAUUAUUUAUUACAAAAUUCAAAAUUUAAGGUAUUUUCUAAUGAUAGCGUAACAAAUUAAAAAAAAUACUUAUUUACACAGAAUAUUAUUUAUACUAUUUUUUUUCUAACAUGAUUUUAGUCUUAACCAAAUAAGUUUGUAAGUUCAAAAAUGUGUUGGUUAUCUAUUAUAAAAAUUACAAAAUUUGAUUGAAAAAAUAAUUAUAAUGCUGAUUGUAACUAUUUUCGUAAAAAUGCUAAUUGCAAUAUAACUUUUCUAUAAGAUUAUUUUUUUAUAUAGCUUUUAUUUAUUUAUAAGUCUAAUUAAAACAACAUGUACCCAAAAUAAACAAAACACAAAUCAUAGUCAAUGGUGUUUAAAAACUAAUGUCUCAAACCAAGAAACAUAUCAAUCUCCUUUAGUAAUAUAAUUAUAAUCUUAAAGUUAUUUGUUCACAACUUUUUAAAGAGCUUAAUUUAAGUUUAUGAUUUGAAUCUAAAAUUGAGAGGUGGGCAGGACAAAGUGAGAUGUCGAGACAAAAAUACAGAUAAGCUAAUUUGUGCGGUGGAUUUUACACAAACUUUGUCAGUCACGAGACUCUUUCUUAUUCUAAUGGCACCAAACCCUAGUUUUGUUCUUUUCUUCUUUACUUUUUUAUUUAUCAUAAAUAUUUUAUUUGGAUUCUCAUACUCUCAUAUGUCUCUUUCCCUAUUGACCAUAUCUUUUUAUCUCAUCUCUUCCCUUUCUUGUGAUAUAACUUUUUACUCUAUUAUUAUGACAAGUCGGGGCUAGAUAUGGUUGUAGUCCAAUGAUCUUAUUAUUUGCUAGACUAUAGAUUUAUAUGUAUUGGACACACACACUUGAUAAGACCAUAUUUUAUUGAUUCUAUUAACUAGUAAGCACUAAAUAUAGUCUCGAUAUUUUUAGUCUUUUUUUUUUUUGUCAUCUGAAAUUUAAUUAAUAAAACUUGUUGUGGAAACAAGGAGAGAUACAUAUGCCCAAACAAGGGAAACUAAAGCUGGCGGACAAAAGAAAAGUCCCCAGAAACUAAAGCCGGCGGAAUACAUGAUUUCCCCGGAAACUAAGCCCUGUGAAAGGGAAGUUAAAAACAACAGAAUUACCAAACAGAAAAUUCGAAUCGAAAGAGGACGAUGCUAUAAACUAAGAACAGAGGAAAAAGGCUAAAAUCCUAAGGGAAGCGAUAAACCAAAGAAUUUCUCGAUAUUUUUAGUCUACAAAUCAUAAUUUCUUUUACGAUUCAAAAUUAUAUAUUUUCGACAAAUAAUUUCUAUUAUUUUAUCUAAAAAACUCGGAUAAUUAGUCGGGUACGGAUUAGGUUAUGAAAAUACCUUCGUAAAACCUUAUAAUAUGAUAUUGUUUUCCGGAUAUUCGAGUGGGUGUUCUGACCUCAAAUGAAGAUAAAUCCCUAAAACCUUGUAAGUUGUAACAUGGUUUUAGGGAAUCAUGUUAAUUUUUUUGGCAGGAUAGGGAAUCAUGUUAAUGGCAUUAACUAAUAGUGUGUACCUAAUUAGUAAAGACAUGUCUAUUAAGAGAAAAUUGACUAAACCGGACAAUUUUGGUUAGACCGGAUAAAGACCAUGUGGUCCAUUUAGCCUUAGUGAUCAUAUGUAUACUCGAUCUAGUUGUAAGUUGUUGUCAUGUAGCUAACUUCAGAAUCUUACUCACUAACACUUCGAGUUUCUUCUCAUUGGCACAAAACUUAACUCCAUUCUCUUUUUCUCUCUCUCUUCUAUCUUUCACCAAAAUGCCAUAACUCUCUCUUCCCCUAUAUACCAAAAAUUAAUCUGUAUCUCUCUAUCCAUCAAGAGAGAGCAUCACAAUGGGCAAACAGAGAAGAACCAUGAUCUCAUUUACUCUGUUUCUCACAUUGACAAUGAUGUCAUCACUCAUCAAUGGCGAUACCGACUCAAUUCAACUAAACGACGACGUUUUAGGACUCAUCGUCUUCAAAUCAGACCUCAACGACCCAUUUUCACACCUUGAGUCAUGGACCGAAGACGACAACACUCCUUGUUCAUGGAGUUACGUCAAAUGCAACCCCAAAACAUCUCGAGUCAUCGAGCUUUCUCUCGACGGUUUAGCCUUAACCGGAAAAAUCAACCGCGGAAUCCAAAAGCUUCAACGUUUAAAAGUACUCUCACUUUCCAACAACAACUUCACCGGAAACAUCAACGCUCUCUCAAACAACAACCAUCUCCAAAAGCUAGAUCUUAGCCACAACAAUCUCUCCGGUCAAAUCCCUUCUUCUCUCGGUUCAAUAACCUCCUUGCAACACCUUGACUUAACCGGAAACUCCUUCUCCGGUACACUCUCUGACGAUUUGUUCAACAACUGUUCCUCUCUUAGAUAUCUUUCUCUCUCCCACAACCACCUCGAAGGUCAAAUCCCAAGUACUCUGUUUCGAUGCUCUGUUUUAAACAGUCUCAAUCUUUCAAGAAACCGUUUCUCCGGUAACCCUAGCUUCGUCUCAGGAAUCUGGAGACUUGAGAGGUUAAGAGCUUUAGAUCUAUCUUCUAACUCACUUUCUGGUUCAAUACCUUUGGGGAUACUCUCUCUACAUAACUUGAAAGAGUUGCAACUACAGAGGAAUCAGUUCUCUGGAGCAUUGCCUUCAGAUAUUGGACUCUGUCCUCAUUUAAACAGAGUUGAUCUAAGUUCCAAUCAUUUCUCUGGUGAACUUCCAAGAACUCUUCAGAAGCUGAAAUCUUUAAAUCACUUCGAUGUAUCGAACAAUUUGCUCUCCGGUGAUUUCCCGCCAUGGAUCGGUGACAUGACCGGUUUAGUACACUUGGAUUUCUCCAGCAAUGAGUUAACCGGAAAGCUUCCUUCUUCUAUUAGUAACUUGAGGUCUCUAAAGGAUCUAAACUUGUCUGAGAACAAACUCUCCGGCGAGGUACCUGAGUCUUUGGAAUCAUGCAAAGAGCUUAUGAUUGUUCAGCUUAAAGGCAAUGACUUCUCCGGUAACAUUCCUGAUGGUUUUUUUGAUCUUGGUCUUCAAGAAAUGGAUUUUUCGGGUAACGGUUUAACCGGUUCGAUCCCAAGAGGCUCAAGCAGGCUUUUCGAGUCACUCAUAAGGCUCGAUCUUUCGCAUAACAGUCUCACUGGAAGUAUACCUGGUGAAGUAGGACUCUUCAUCCACAUGAGAUACCUUAAUUUAUCAUGGAACCAUUUCAACACAAGAGUUCCUCCUGAAAUUGAGUUUCUACAGAACUUAACGGUAUUGGAUCUUAGGAACAGUGCACUGAUUGGUUCGGUUCCUGCUGAUAUAUGUGAGUCUCAGAGUCUUCAGAUACUUCAACUGGAUGGUAACUCACUAACCGGUUCUAUACCGGAAGGAAUCGGAAACUGCUCUUCUCUUAAAUUGUUGUAAGUCACUGUUUCUUGUAUACAUUUUUGCUUCAUUGCAAAUGUUUUCGUAUAUUGAUUACAAGUUUUCUUGUUGCAGGAGUUUGUCUCAUAACAAUCUUACCGGUCCUAUUCCUAAAUCUCUUUCAAACUUACAAGAGCUCAAGAUUUUAAAGCUAGAGGCUAAUAAGCUUAGUGGAGAAAUACCGAAAGAGCUUGGGGAUUUGCAGAAUCUGUUAUUGGUUAACGUUUCGUUUAACCGACUUAUCGGAAGGUUACCAUUGGGAGAUGUGUUCCAAAGCUUAGACCAGAGUGCUAUACAAGGAAACCUAGGUAUUUGUUCACCGUUGUUGAGAGGUCCUUGUACACUGAAUGUUCCAAAGCCUCUUGUCAUCAAUCCAAACUCCUACGGGAAUGGGAACAAUAUGCCUGGAAACCGAGCAAGCGGUGGUUCUGGAACAUUCCACCGCAGAAUGUUCCUGAGUGUUUCAGUGAUUGUAGCAAUAUCAGCUGCGAUUCUCAUCUUCUCUGGAGUCAUAAUUAUAACGCUGCUUAACGCGUCUGUUAGAAGACGGCUUGCAUUUGUAGACAAUGCGUUGGAAAGCAUUUUCUCGGGGUCUUCGAAAUCAGGAAGAAGCUUAAUGAUGGGUAAACUUGUUCUGUUAAACUCAAGAACUUCACGUUCCUCGUCUUCGUCUCAAGAGUUCGAAAGAAACCCAGAGUCACUUCUCAACAAAGCUUCAAGAAUCGGUGAAGGGGUUUUUGGAACAGUCUACAAAGCACCUUUAGGAGAGCAAGGGAGAAACUUGGCUGUUAAGAAACUUGUCCCGUCUCCGAUUCUUCAAAACCUAGAAGAUUUUGAUCGCGAAGUUCGGAUAUUGGCGAAAGCGAAGCACCCUAAUCUAGUAUCGAUCAAAGGGUAUUUCUGGACACCGGACUUGCAUCUUCUGGUAUCAGAAUACAUCCCCAAUGGAAACUUGCAGUCCAAGUUACACGAACGAGAACCCUCAACACCGCCUCUUUCUUGGGACGUAAGAUACAAAAUCAUCCUCGGUACAGCUAAAGGACUCGCUUAUCUCCAUCACACAUUCCGUCCAACAACCAUCCACUUCAACCUGAAACCGACAAACAUCCUCCUCGACGAGAAAAACAACCCGAAAAUCUCUGAUUUCGGGCUAUCUCGUCUCCUAACAACACAAGACGGGAACACAAUGAACAACAACAGGUUUCAAAACGCUUUAGGCUACGUAGCGCCUGAACUAGAGUGUCAGAACUUAAGGGUCAACGAGAAAUGCGAUGUUUACGGGUUCGGGGUUUUGAUACUCGAACUGGUGACUGGUCGGAGACCGGUGGAGUAUGGUGAAGACAGCUUUGUGAUACUUAGUGACCAUGUUCGAGUUAUGUUAGAACAAGGGAAUGUGUUGGAGUGUAUUGAUCCUGUGAUGGAGGAACAAUACUCUGAAGAUGAGGUUUUGCCUGUCUUGAAACUUGCUCUGGUCUGUACUUCUCAGAUACCUUCGAAUCGGCCAACAAUGGCCGAGAUUGUUCAGAUCUUGCAGGUCAUCAAUUCUCCUGUUCCCCACCGUAUCAUGGAUAGUUUCUAAACAUCUUUGUGUUAUAGUUAAUUUUUCAUUAGCUUUUCUUUUUGCAAAUUUUACUUUGUCUGUGUCUUUUGUUGUGGUCUUUGUGUAGAGAUUGCUUAUUUCACAAUGCUACGCUUUCUGUUCCUUCGUUAUCAUUAUCGUAACAAUCAUUGACCAUUGCUAUCGUGACAUUAAUAGUUUUUUUCUUUUCUUUUAUGAGAAUUAAUUCUACAUGCAUUUAGCAAUAGUACAAUUACAAAUGUAGAACAAUUUCUCACAUUGAACAAUUAAAAACAUAUUAUAAAAAUAAUUAUAAAUUUAUCAUUCUAGAUUUAAUUUUCUUAUAUUUUUGGUUGCUAGUGUAAAUCUUUUAAAUUGCAAGAAUACUCGACUUUCUAAAGGUUUCAAGGUAGUGACGGAUUCAAACUUUUUAGUAAGAGCAAAAUGUUAAAAACCAAUUUUUUUUUAUAAAACUCACUAAAAGAGUAUAUCAUAAAUACUAAUAACACCCUAAAAUGUUUUUUUUUGGAAUUAAUUUUUCAUUGCUUUCAAAUUUAAUUUAAAUAACAGAAAGUAUAUUUUGUUUUAGGUAAGAUAUAUCAUAACAAACUUGUACUUGUGGUUAAAUUAAGUUGGGUAGAUUGCAUUCAACGUAUUCUAAUCAUGUAUUUUUCAAAUAGAUAUGGUUCUGAAAGACCUAUGACCAAAUCUUAUCCUUUAUCUUUCUCUGUUGAUGUUAAUAGAAUUGUCUGUCUUUUUUUUUUUGGGAAUAGUUCUUGAUUUUGUGUGUAGAACAAGAAAAUGUGAAACUGUCAUUUUAUAAGCAGUAAAAAAUAAUUUGACUUGCUAAAAAGAUAAAGAUAGUUAUGAAAAUGACUAAAGGGUUUAUUAUGUCCCAUGUGAAAAAUGAAUUUUAGCCGUUUGGACGAAUAAUUUCUCUUGAUAAUAUAUUAUUUUUUACGUGACGUAUAAUUCAUCAAAUACAUUAACGCAUUCUUUUUUGUACCAUAUUAUUUUUUAUAUAAAAUUUUUGAUCUGGAAUAAGUUUAUAUAUCCGUCAUAUAUAUGUGCAGUUUAUUGUUUUGGGGUUCUAGUAAUUACUUCUAUAUGAUCACUUAAUGCGUUAAAUAUUUUGAUAUAUCCAUUUACGCAAAUAUCAAUUGAUUCUUAAUGUUUUGUAAGUUGUAACCAUCUUGUAUGGGGUUAGCCCAAUGUGUUUGUAUCCACCAUAUGAUCCCUAAAUACUCAAUAAAAAUGAAAACCAUUCGACAAAAAAAUUAUCAAUUGAUUAUAUAUUUCGUUUUGCAAAUACUCUUCUGGUUUUUUCUAACAAGUUUUCCUAUGCGGUUUCUAAGUAAGUUAUGUGCUCUUCUUGUUGCAACUUAAUCCAAAGACAAAAAUGUAGUCAAUAAAUAAUCAAAAUGAGUUGGUUCAUGUAUUAGCUUUCUCUGAAAACAAUCUUUAUAAAAAAAUACGUUUGGAACAAUGUUUGAUAUAUGUUAUAUUUGAUUUAAUUAUUGUUGUCCGUCCAUUUUGGUUUUCUUUAUAAAGAAACACACUAAUUCAAAGCAUUCAAUUAAUACAAGGUGGGGUGGCUUAAAUCGGGUAAGAAGGACAGAACAAUAAUGUGGUACAUAUUAUUGUGAAAGGUUGUUUUCUUAUUAUCUUUUUUUUUUUGUAUUCGACGUCGUUUUCUAUCAUCUAAUAAAAAAGUUUCUGAUUCUUUUAUUUACUUGUAGGACAAAAUCUUUUGUCACUAAUUGAUUUCUUACACCGUAGCUUUCCAUCAAAUUGAAAUACACACACAAACACAAGCGCAUCACGUUUCACGGCUACAAUAAUGUUCUUUUAGAUUUUGUUAUUUUCCUAAAUACUGACGUAAAAGUCAUAUCCAAUAUAAUUGUUUUGUCUUUUCAAUUUCUUUUUAUGGGCAGACCCAAAUAUUAUGCAUAAACAUUAUAUAUUAGAAUAUAUUUUAGUUGUUAGUGAGCUAAUUAGGUUUUAUUGUAUGGCGUGUGGAAACGGCAUGCUUCCAUUAUAUGCGAAUGGUCUAAACCAUGUGUUUUGGUAUUCAAUUAUUAUAUAGACAAUUAGUUAGGCCUUGGCUUUUUUUUUUGCGAUUAUGAUAUAAUCUUAUGAACCUGAUAAAGAGAAGAUCUAAUCUUAUGAACCUGAUAAAAAGAAGAUCUAAUCUUGGUUCAUUAAAAUAAGGUAGUAUUAAAUUUGUACGGAAGUUGAUAAGUUGUAUACCUAAUUUUUUUUUUUUUGGUAAAAUGUAAAGUAUUUAGGGUAAAUUAGCUAAAUAACCAAUUCCUGAAAAGAAAUUAAAUAUCUAGCACCAUAAGUUGCCGAAUUCAGAGAGUAACGCAUGAGGUGUGUGUAAUGACAACACACUCUUUCACCACACACUCCUUCACCCAAAUUCUAUACAUAUCAUCAUAGAAAAAUAGAAUAGUAUAUAUUUGUUCAAACCAAAACUUUGAUUCCGAUGAAUCCAAAUAAUCAAUUAUAUAUUUUUUGAUGGAAUGAUACUAAACCCUAAGAUAAUAUAUAGGGAACCUAAGGGUUUUAAUCUAAAACAAUGAUUAAAUCACUUAACAUCCUUAAUCAAAACAAACAAUUCAUUUUAAAACGUAUAUAGUACAAUGUAUACGUAAAUAGUAUAUUCACAAAAUAGAAUAGUAUCUCUCAAAAAUCUUCCAAAAUCAAAAUCGAUUUAUUGGCUAUUUCCCUUUAGAAUUUCCAACAUCGUAAACCCUUUAUCGCUUCUAGAUCUAAGAAAUCCAUAACAUGAUCGUCAAUUUGUUGUUCAUAAUUCUCAAUUUUAUUUUCCAUGGAUUUACAAAUUAAAAUUCUCAUAUGAACUUUGAUGGGAAAGUGAAGAUUAAUUUGACAUAAUUGGCGAAAGGAUUUCACCGGAUUUUUCUAGUAUUCUCUGGCUGACGAAGAAUAAAUAUAGUCAGAGUAUUAUUGCGCUAAUGGUGUUGUUAUAAAAUAGAGUAAAUCAGAUUUGAGUGAUCCUAUCGACAUUUAAGAUUGAUCCAUAUAUAAUUUUGACUUUUGUUUAGUUGAUGGUGAUGUAUGUAAAGAUUCGUAAGAAAAGGGCGAGAUAGAUGAAAGGAGCACACUUCAUAAAAGAGAAGAAGAUUUAUUCACAAGGAUGUCUUUUGAAGAAGAAAGAAGAAGGAGAGCGAGAUGUACAAACACAGUAAGAAAAGGGAGAGAGAGAUGAAAGGAGCACACUUCAUAAAAGAGAAGAAGAUUUAUUCAAUAGGAUGUCUUUUGAAAAAGAAAGAAGAAGGAGAGCGUGAUGUACAAACACAUGAUAGUAUUGUCAAUAUUAUAUAUAUUAUACAUAAUAUUUUUUUCUAUUGUUUGAAGUGUUAGUUUACCAAUUAAAGUAUUUUUGUUGGUUAUAUUUGCCAAUUCCCCAAGUAUUUAUACCAUUUUCGAAGUUUCGACAUAAGUUAAAAAGGAUAUAAGAACCGGAAAAAUAACGAAAAUCUACAGAAAGAACAGACAAUGACAAAACAACAAAGGAGGAAAACAUAUGUAUAGAGCGAAAACAAAAGAAGAAACACCGAUUCCAAAAUGCCAAACUCGGAAAUUUGCGUGAUUUCCUCCACAACUCCAAGAAGCUGGAGUCUCAUCCUAAGUUGUAUACCUAAUUUGUUUACAGAAGUUAUCUAUGGUGCUAAAAAAAAUGGUUUUAACACUUGAAAAAAAAGCUUUUACUAAAGUUAUAUAUAUAUGGUUUAGUGGUUUUCUUUAGUGUAUGAGUCGAUAUGAGAGGACAGUAAAAGAUAAAUCAUUUUUUAUAUAAAAAAGCUGUUGAAUAUUAUUUGUUAUUUGUGAUAAACAAUUUGAAUAGUAAAACAUGUUACAUAAUUUCUUUAGCUAGUGCUUAUAGAAAAUUGAUUUUAAAACAAAAUAAAGAUAAAAGUUAGUUUCUAUUCAAAAAAUUGAAAAUGAUUGCCACAUCAUUUAAAACUAAAAGUUAAAAAUUAAAGGUAAAAUUGGUUUUUUUUUUUUGAAAUCGCUUUAAUUGUAAGGGUAAAAGUGGAUAUUUGUUUUUACUGAAAUCAUGAGUAUGAAAAUAACAGCAAUUUUUUUUGGAUAAUAAACGCACAUUUUAAUUAUUAUGUGUAUUUUUUCCAACCAAAAAUAAUUGAGUAUUCAACGUCUAGAUAAAAAAGAGACUGAGAUUUUUUUCGACUUUUUCUCCAAAAAAAACGAAGUUCCAAAAAUAAUGAUGAAAUUAGUAGUGGUAAAUGGUCAAUUUAAAUCCGUUGCUACAAAUCAAAAUUUAAAUCUGUAAAUUAACUAAAUCUAUUAAAUUAUUAAUGAAAACCAAUGUAAAAAGAAUCUCAACUUCUCAAGCAUACUUUGUUUCAAAUAUUCUACUAUUCAAAAUACUCCCUUAAAUCAUAACCUGAAACUCACAUAAGCUGAUCCAAAAUUGAAUUUCAUUCCACAAUUUUUCUCUUAAACUUCAUAUAAACAUGUCAGCAUGUUACACGGCCUUUUUUGUCUGCUUCAUAUAUCUCUCAAGUGUGUGUACUACACAAUAACAUUUCCUGAAAAUCUAACUUUCACCCACUCACCAUCUUUUCUUCUCUCUUUCCCCAUCAAAAAAAACAAAAACAAAACACAACUCUGUUUCUCUCAUCUUAAAAUUCAUGUAAAAAAAAUCUACAAAUCAAAGAGAGAAACAGAGUAAAGAGAAAGAGAAGAAGAUGGCGCGGAAAUACUUUCAGAGAGAAGUUUUGCCGGUAACGGCUUUGGUAAUAAUGGAAUGUGCAAACGUUGGUUUAAACACUCUGUUUAAAGCAGCAACUUUGAAAGGCAUGAGCUUUCAUGUCUUCAUCGUUUACUCUUAUGGUCUCGCUGCUCUGCUUCUUCUUCCUUCUCUGUUUUGCUCUUUCAGGUCUCUCUCUCUUCUUGAUUCGAUCUCGAUACUAAAUUUUUCAUCUAAUCUUGAAAAUUGGCUAAUCGGUUCUUGUUUAAUUUCACAGAUCAAGAACUCUUCCACCGAUGAAUUUCUCUAUUCUCUACAAAAUCGUGCUCUUAGGGAUUAUUGGGUAAAAGUCUCAUCUCUUGAAAUUUUCUACCAAAUAAAAAAUUCUCAGUUCUUGAAAUUUUUCUUUAAUUUCAAGCAAUACCUGAGUGUUGCUGAAAUAGGUUAAUUUGAUCUUUAAUUACCUGAUUAGAUCAAAUUUUUUGCAUGAGUGUUACUGAAAUUCUCAGUUUUUGUUUACCAAAAUUUAGAGAAUAAAAAGUAUAGAAAGAGACAUUUGGCUUAAAGUUGGUUCCAAAAGCUGCAACUUUACUGCAAAAAUCUAAAAACAUUAUUAUUAUUAUAAACAAAAAUAAAUUCAAUUUUUGGGGGUUUAUUUAUAUGAUUUAAUCUUAGUAAAAAAAUGGAAUAUAUUAUUUGGUUUUGGUUAUAAAAUUUUUGAUUAAUAAAAGUGUGUGUUGACAAUGUAUAUAGAUGCUGUUCAUGAUUUAUUCUUAGUAAAAAGUGGAAUAUAUUAUUUUGUUUUGGUUAUAAUUAUUUGAUUAAUAAAAAUGUGUGUUGAUAAUGUAUAUAGAUGCUGUUCAAACAUAAUGGGAUACACAGGGAUAAAUUAUAGUUCUCCAACACUUGCUUCUGCAAUCAGCAACCUCACUCCUGCUUUCACCUUCUUGCUUGCAGUCGUUUUCAGGUUUGACAACAACAUUUCUAUAUCCUAUUUGACAUAUUCCUUUUACAUUAUCAAUUUACAAAAUUACCCUCCGUCCAUUAACUGUAUAUGGGCCUUAUUGUUUAGCCCAUGAGGUUAUGAUUUGAAAACGUUUGGUGUAAUGUUGUAGGAUGGAGAGUGUGUCUUUUAAGAGAACAAGUAGUGUGGCUAAAAUGUUAGGAACCGUUGUUUCUAUUGGAGGUGCAUUUAUAGUGACUCUUUAUAAUGGUCCUGUUGUGAUUGCUAAAUCGCCACCGUCUGUUUCUUUGCGAUCGCAAUCGACUAACCCUAAUUGGAUACUUGGUGCGGGUUUCCUUGCGGUCGAGUAUUUCUGUGUUCCAUUGUGGUACAUUGUUCAGGUCUGAACUCUAUAUGCAUAUAUAACAUAUAUGUCACUAUGUGAGUUUUUUGGUUUUCUGAUAGAAUCAUAUGUUCUCAAUAUUUUUUGUAGACUCAAAUCAUGAGAGAGUAUCCGGCCGAGUUUACCGUUGUUUGCUUUUAUAGCAUAGGCGUUAGCUUUUGGACCGCGCUAGUCACAUUGUUCACUGAAGGGAAUGACUUGGGUGCAUGGAAGAUAAAACCGAAUAUAGCUUUAGUGUCGAUCGUUUGCUCGGUGAGAAUAUAAUUACACUCAUGUGUUUUUCCCUAGAGAUUAUGAGUGUGAUUAGUUUUUUGACAAGCAAAAUGGUUUUAUUUUGGUUGAUUCUAUUUCUAUGUUUAGGGAUUGUUUGGAUCUUGCAUAAACAAUACUAUCCACACGUGGGCAUUGCGGAUCAAGGGGCCUUUAUUUGUUGCAAUGUUCAAGCCAUUGUCUAUUGCAAUUGCUGUUGCAAUGGGAGUUAUCUUCCUGCGAGAUUCUCUCUACAUCGGCAGGUACAAAAACAACUCACACUUUUAUUUAAAUAGUAACGGGUGAGUCCAAGAUUAGUUUGGGACUUGCGGUUAUGUUAGAACCAUACCUCAAAAAACUGUGGAAAAUAUUAACUAGUCAUUCUCUAAUUCUCAGCUCACUUUAACUCUUUUGGUUUCCUUUCUUUGCUUGAAUGAUGAUCCCAGCUUGAUCGGGGCAACGGUAAUAACAAUCGGGUUUUACACGGUAAUGUGGGGAAAAGCCAAGGAAGUGGCCUUGGUCGAAGAUGAUAACAAGGCUAACCACGAGGAGGCCAAUGAAGCUGACCUUGAUUCUCCAUCGGGUUCACAGAAGGCUCCUCUCUUGGAAAGUUACAAGAACGAUGAACAUGUAUGAGUAUCAUCAACUAGUGAAGAUCACGCUAUAUAUAUAUGUGUGAAAAAAUUCAUAUGUGAAUUGUCUUUGUAAUUUAUUUGAUGAGACAAAUGUGAUCUUUAAUUUUAGGAUCCAAGUGUUUUCUAAUCACAAUCUAACAAGUCCUUUUUAUAUCCUUUUUUUCUUAGUCUUUCACAUGAUUUACACUAGAAUGAUUCCAAUAUCCUUAAGAAUAAGACUAAUUCUUCACUUAAGAUUUAAGAACAUCUUUUAGUGAUAACUGAUAACUACAGGUUUUGGCGACCAAUUUUCAUUUGUUUUAUAGUCCUUGAUAGUGGUGACGAUAUGUCCUGGAUUUAAGACUUACUAUGAACUGGAAAAUUAAUUGCUCAUCAAGAAAAGAUAUUUAACCUAAAAAUCUCAAAAAUUAUCCUAAAAAUCUUUGUCCUCAUAACUAUAAUUAAGUUACUAAUUAACUAAUGGUUAGACAUUUUUUUUUUUUAACUAUAUAGUAAUAGUGUAAUAAUAAUUGUUGAAAGUGGUUUUUACUUUUACUGCGGUGGGAUGCAAAAGUAAGUUGAAGUUGAGAUUCUAAAGCUCCUAAAUUGGUCAAACCGUCAAACCAGAGUUUCAGAUUCAGACAAUCAAAAACAAAACAAAAAAAAUGGCUGGGAGAUUCUGUCAAAGAGACGGCGGGAUCAUGACGGCAAUGGUGGCGGUGGAGAUUCUGACAGAGUGUAGCCAAAGUAGUUGGAACAAUAGUUUGCAUUGUGGGUGCACUUGUGGCAACUCUAUACCAUGGCCCCAUCGUCUUCGCCGCAUCUAAGCCGUCCUUUUAUCUCCUUCAGCGUCUUUCGGCACCUCCCUCGCAACCGUCCAAUUAUAAUUGGGUCAUCGGGGGAGGUCUUCUGGGUUGAAUACACUCUCAUUGCCGUCGCUUACAUUGUUCAGGUAUAAAGAAAAUUAACAUUGUAAUACUUUGGUCAUACAAGGUAUAUCUAUUGAUUUAUUUAAUUUCUUCACAUUUUUGGUGGGAGUAGACACAUAUAAUGAGGGAAUAUCCGUCGGAAUUUGCCUUGGCACUUUCCCACAAUGUCUGCGUUUCAAUCUCUUGUGCAUUUGUUAGUUUAUUCGUGGAGGAGAACAAUCCUAGCGCAUGGAUUAUGAGAUCGAAAAUUAUGUUGAUAUGCAUCGUCGCAACGGUAUGGAAAUGUUUCUAUAUAUAGUUUUAAUCAAUGAUCUUAUUUUGUUAAAUUUGUGUAAAUGAUACAUUAGGGGGUGGUGAAUUCGACGAGCUAUGUUGUUGAAUCAUGGACAGUGCGAUAUAAGGGGGCUGUGUUCCUAGCAAUGUUCAGGCCAUUAUCUAUCGUAACCGCUGUCGUACUAGGGGCAAUAUUUCUAGGCGAUUCUCUCUAUCUCGGAAGGUGAAAGAAGAAUGUUUAAUAUAUCAAAAGAUGGAUCACCAAAUUAGUAUUAAUUACUCAUCUUGGAUUUUCACUUUCAGUUUUUACUAUCUAUAUUUGGCAGUGUGAUUGGUGGAACGUUGAUAUCAAUCGGUUUCAGUGUCCAUAAUUCAUUAUUUCAUAUAGCCAAUGGCUUUAGCGCUUUAGCCAAAUCCAGUGUUCUAAGGCAUAUUGGCAUGUUAGUAUAGAAAAGUUGUCCUUAUCUGAACAAAUUUUUAGUAAUGGAGGCAACGACCUUUGUGCAUGUGAGCUAUGUUAUGUACAAUAAAAAACGUAUCUGAAGUAGGUCUUCUUCGAAAACGACUCAGAAGAUUAGAUUCCAGGCAGUGGCAAAACAAGAAUUGUGACUGACUCUGAAAGCAGCUACACUUACGAGAUCAAAUGUUUAAAGGGAAUGGUUGAUUGGAUUUCUUUUGGCUCGAAGAGGCAUACAUAUAAAUUUUGUGAUGAUGCCUUAGCCAAACUAAGUUUUAAGAUAUAUUUAGAGAUAUGACUAUAUGAGUUUUGUAGAUUGAGUAUUGUCUAAUCUAAUUUGUGUGAGAAAUCUAGUGAUGAAAAUUGGCCGGUGAAUUUUAAACGCGUGUAUAUAUCAAUCUCUAUUCUCUAGUGGUCCUUUUCUAUAGUACAUUGGUCCAAAUAAUAGGGAAUCUUAUAAUAAAUUCAAGAGACUGACAAUUAUCUUAUAAAAAAUUCAAGAAAUUUUAUUUCAAUAUUUUAUAAAUGCAUAAAAUUUGUAUUACAAUCAAAUACAAUAUUUAAGUUAAAAAUAUUAUACUGAUGAAUACUUAUAUAUUAUUAUGAAUAUUCAUUUAUUAUAUACUUAACUCUUUUCUUUUGUAUUUAAAAUUAUUUUCAUUUAUUAUAAACAGAUUUGAAUUGAAUGAUAUUUUUAAUACAUUUUAGUUUUAAUCAUUUAUUGUUUUGCUCAUGUAGACAUCUUAGAUGGAGAGAGGACUACCAAAUUAUAUAUAUGAUUCAUUUAUUAUAUACUUAACUCUUUUCUUAUGUAUUUAAAAUUAUUUUCAUUUAUUAUAAACAGAUUUGAAUUGAAUCAUAUUCUUAAUACAUUUUAAUUUUAAUUUUAAUCAUUUAUUGUUUUGUUGAUGUGAACAUCUUAGAUGGGGAGAGAACUCCCUAAUUGUAUAUAUAUGAUUGGCCCAAAGAAUAUGGAAUCUUAUAAUAAACUCAAGAAACUAACAAUUAUUGGACCCAUAAAUUGACAUUUCCUUUUACUUGUAACAUAAAGAAAAGUAACAAAGGGAUAACAAAUUAAAGACUCACAUUCCACAACAAAUUUUUCUACCAAUGCCAAUAAUGGCCGGAACCGCAAGUCCUUGGCGGAGAGAGGCCGUGUUCUUGACGGCAAUGCUGGUGGUCGAAACCAGCGUCGUCGGAAUAAGUACUUUGUUUAAAUUUGCAACUUCAAAGGGACUCAACAUUUAUCCUUUCCUCGGCUAUUCUUAUCUUCUUGCUUCUCUUCUUCUUCUUCCUUCUCUUUUCUUCACUAACAGGUUUCUAAUAUCUUUAAUCUUUACAAGACCAUUUUUCUUCUUCUUUGUCAAAAUCUCUUAAAACCAUUUAUAACAAUUCUUUUGUAUUGAUUUGUAUGUUUUUGUUUUACAGGUCAAGUUCACUUCCUCCACUAAGUGUCUCAAUACUUUCAAAAAUUGGACUUCUUGGAUUUCUAGGGUAAUAUCCAAAUAACACAUUCCUUACUCCAAUUUCGAAUAUGUAACUAGCUUCCACUAAAUGUUGCUAAUAUAUGAUUUUUGGCUGGAAAAAAAAAGAACAGAUCAAUGUAUGUGAUCACAGGAUACAUAGGCAUCGAAUACAGCAGCCCAACCUUAGCCUCCGCCAUAAACAAUAUCACUCCUGCUCUUACCUUCAUCCUCGCCAUUAUCUUCAGGUUUUUGUUUUCUUUGACUAAUUAUUAAGUUUUUGCUGAUUUCAAUUUUAGUUUUUCGGAUUAUUCUAGUCAACAAGUCGAAAUUGUAACCAUUCCAUUUCCGGCUAAUUUAAUUUUAAUAAUUAUAAUAGUUUUUUAUGUUAACCGAAAUUAAUUAAACUCAAAAGAACUAAUCCCGAAAGAUAUUGUUUACAUAUGUGAUGAAGCCGUUCGCUAUGAAUUUUUCGUGCAUUAUAAUAAAGUUCUUUAGAAUAAUUACUUCAAAGUUCCCCUAUAAUUUUUUCAAUUCGACUAUUUUUUUUUCCAUAAAUCAUGUUAGUUUUCACUUCACUAUAUUCAACACUAUAGUUUGCUAACCAAUUCUUUACCACUAGCCGCCUUACCCCUAUCCCACAACUGUCUCAUACUCUUAUCAGUAACUAGGUAAAUAAUCUAUAUUUAUGGUAAAUGCGUUUAAUAUGUUCUUCUUUCUUUCUUUCAAUGCAUACAUUAAUUCAGGUUUUCGGCAUCUAUAUUUAUGGCAAUUGAUAUGAAGAUUUAAGUUACUAUCGCACUAUUGCUCAAUCUUGUGGUCCAAAUCAUACAAGGCUGUUUGCAUGAAUGAAAUAAAUGCGUAUUAAUUGUGUUUGAUCAUUGAUUAUUUCUUAGCCUUCUUUUGGAAUAAACACUUAACACACUAAAUUUCAUUUUGUGAAUAAAGAAUGGAAAAAGUAUCUUUCAAAGAGAGGAGUAGUCUAGCCAAAUUGAUGGGGACGAUAUUGUCACUGAUAGGUGCACUUGUGGUGAUUUUCUACCACGGUCCACGUGUCUUCCUCGCAUCUUCUCCGCCCUAUGUAAACUUCCGUCAGUUUUCUCCACCGUUGUCAUCUUCAAACUCCGAUUGGCUCAUCGGUGGAGCUCUUCUAACCAUGCAAGGCAUAUUCGUUUCUGUUUCUUUCAUUCUUCAGGUACCAAUUUUUUUUCCUUAUAUAUAGUAGAAAUAAUUUUAAAUUUAUGGUUAAGUCAAAAAUUAGUCAUUAAAAAAGGUGGAAACAUACGAACACAUGGUUUAGAGUAGACCUAGGCGUUCAGAUAUUUGGUUCGGUUCUAGUUCGGUUCCAAUUCUUUCGGCUCUCGAGUUUAGGAUUCAUAUAGGAACUAAAACAGUUUUGGUUUGGUUUGGGUUCGGGUUCGGUUUUUUCGGUUCUGAAGUUUAAUUAGGACCCAUUCGGAUAUUUAUUUCAGAUAUUUUUUAGUAUUUUCGGAUAUUUUCGAGUAUUUUUGGAUAUUUUGGUAUUUUUAUAUAUUUUUCAACUAUAUUUUCGGUAUUUUUGAAUGUUCAAUCUAAAAAUAACUAAUAUUUUUGGAUAUAUAAUCAUAUUUAGAUAUUCUCGGAUACCCGAAAUAUUUCAGUUCGGUUCGGGUUCGGUUCCAAUUAUUUUGGUUCUAGAAUUUAGGAUUCAUUUGAGUAUUUUACCAUUUUGGUUUGGCUUCGGAUUCGGUUCUUUUUGCUUUGGUUCCAGUUCGUUUUUUUUUGGUUCGGGUAUUAUGCCCAUGCAUAGAGGGGUGAACUUUGGUUUUUGGUUGGAGAUGAUGUUAUAAUACAUGUGGGAAAACACAUAUCUUCAUUUAGUAAACAUCAUUUCAUUCUAAUAUUUAUUCUAUAUAAUGAUUUUUGGACAGGCACAUAUAAUGAGUGUAUAUCCAGCAGCAUUCAGAGUCUCCUUUCUUUACACUGUAUGUGUUUCAAUCGUGACCUCGACGAUUGGACUAGUAGUUGAAAAGAACAACCCAAGCGUUUGGAUCAUUCAUUUCGAUAUUACUUUGAUUACAAUUGUUACCAUGGUAUGUUAUAUAUAUAUAUAUAUUUUAAAGAUAUCAAAAUAUCUACUUUUUGAUCUUAACACUUUUUUAAAAAUAAAAUAUUUCAGGCAAUAGUAACUUCAGUAUACUAUGUGAUUCAUUCAUGGACAGUACGACAUAAAGGACCUCUGUACUUAGCCAUAUUUAAACCUUUGUCCAUUUUAAUAGCAGUGGUUAUGGGGGCCAUUUUUCUCAAUGAUUCUCUCUAUCUCGGAUGGUAUUAAUGAAUCAAUAGUCUUCAUAAACAUAUCUAUAAACAAAAACAUCUACUCACCUUCGAUUUUGUCCUUCGUUUUGCAGUUUGAUCGGAGGAAUUUUGAUAACAUUAGGCUUUUACGCUGUGAUGUGGGGCAAAGCAAACGAAGAGAAGGAUCAGUUAUCAUUUUCAGAAAAAGAGAAAACGCCUCUUCUAUUAAACCGCAAAAACGACCAAGUUUAAAAAGAAAAAGAAUAUAGACAAUAAAACUACUAAUAGUUAACAAAUACUGUUAUUAAUACCAUAUUUAUAAAAUUGUCUUAUGUCUCUAUGAACCUAGGAGUUGGAAAAAAAUGUGUGUAUUUAGAUUUUUUUUUCAAAAUACUCCAACAUUUAUAAAUACGAGUUAACAUUUUUCCUUGACUCCUUUGGAACAUAUGAAAAGCUUAAAUUGAUAUUCUUUGAAGCAAUGAUAGGUAACUGCACCAAGUAUAUAUCCCGGUAUAGUCACACAUCCCAAGUUUAGUGAACUACACGAAUUAUGUGUAUUGUAUGCUAAUGUAUACCAAUUAGUAACAUAUGAUCAACACCAUCAUAUUCCUUUUACACCGUUUGUCAAAUCCAUUUUUAAAACCACUUUUGGUGAAUUACGCCGUAGAAAAACAAGUCUAACACAUUGUAACAUUUUGAAGUGGUAAUAAAAUUUCUGAUUCAAGGUUUCAAUAUCUAUAAUUAUUGAAGUGGUUUCAAUAUCCAUUAUUGGAUGAUCAUAUUUUGGCACAACUGUUUUCAAGUCUGCGCAAAGAAUAGGGAAUCUUAUAAUAAAUUCAAGAAACAACAAUUAUUGGACCCACAAUACACCACUUCCCCUCUAACUAGUACUAUCAUAAAUGAAAAGCAAACAAAUUAAGCGAUAACAAAUCAAAGACUCACAUUUCAACACCAAACCUUUCUACCAUUUCCAAUGGCCGGAGCAGUAAGCCUUUGGCGGAGAGAGGCCGUGUUCUUGACGGCGAUGCUGGCAGGCGAAACCAGCAUCGUCGGACUAAGUACUCUGUUUAAGGUAGCAACUUCAAAGGGACUCAACAUUUACCCUUUCCUCAGCUAUUCUUAUCUUCUUGCUUCUCUUCUCCUUCUUCCUUCUCUGUUCUUCACCAACAGGUUCAAAUAACUUUAAUCUUUCUAUGACCAUUCUUUUGUAUAGAUUUUUAUUUAAUUUGUAUGUUUUAAUACAGGUCAAGAUCACUUCCUCCACUAAGUGCCUCAAUACUCUCUAAGAUUGGACUUCUUGGCUUUCUAGGGUAAUAUCCAAAUACAACAUUCCUUCUUCCAAUAUUUUUUAUGAAAUUAUCAUCCACUAAACUGUUGCUAAUAUAUGAUCUUUGGCUGAAAAAAAUUCAAAACAAAAAAAGAACAGAUCAAUGUAUGUUAUUACAGGAGGCAUAGGCAUCGAAUACAGCAACCCAACCUUAGCCUCCGCCAUAGGCAAUAUUGUUCCUGCUCUUACCUUCAUCCUCGCUGUUAUCUUCAGGUUUUAUUUUAAUUCAUUUUCCUAAAAGUUUUGCAGAUUAAUGUCUAACCAUCGAGUCGACAUUCUAACAAAGUUUCUGGCAUAAUUAGGUUAUUAGGCAACUUAAAUUGGAAGUAGUUUCUUUAAAUCAGUCACUUCAAAUUAACUUGUCCGAUGGUUUUAAUUCAGUUCAACGCAUUAUGUUGCUAACCAAUGCUUUUUUGCUAUCAGCCGUCUUACUUAAUAUAGAACUUAUGUUGCUAACCAAUACUUUUUGCUAUCAGCCGUCUUACUUAAUAUAGAACUUGAACUUUUUUUUCUACCAGAUGUACAUUUUCAAAUAUAUUUAUUUGGACCAUUUAAGAUAUACUAAUAAUAUAUCUAUGCGAGCAAAACGAACACUGUUAAUUUUAUCCGGGAAAUUAAAGACAAUAGAUUCAAGAAAGCGGAAUUUCUUAGUGGUCAAGAUAAGCUCAAAGAUCACUUCUAACUAGCUUGAGUAGCAAGUUCGGGUUUGUUGUAGAGUAAACUUAAGCCUAGGGUUCUUGAGUAGAGAAUUGUGGACCCUUUGGUUGGCCUAGCUCCCUAUUUAUACCUUCAGGGUGUCGGUUCUUCGAUAUGGCAUGUUUCCAUCAUCUUCGGAGGAGAAUAUUUCCAUUGUCCGAUUUGUUACUUUUUGUGUAGAUUCGAGUUUACCUUUCAAGAUUUUCCUCUCUAGCUAGUACCUAGGUCGGUCUCCGAGGUAAUCGAGGUCGAGCUAGUCAGGCUUAGGCCUCCAAAUCAGAUUCGCUAUUGGACCAAGUAGUUCAAAAUACUGAAUGGUUUAUUCUUGUUUAAAAUCAGGUUAAGUACUGGAUAGAGCUAAUUAAAUCACUCUCCUACAAUAUCCAAUGCGCUAUAUAGUAAUGUAUAAGAUCAUAGUUUAUAUAUAUAACAAUAACAUAUAGGUGAUAUCACGUACUUUAUAAACAUUUUACCUAACAUGAAUAAAUCUGCACGAAACUUUAUUUGAUUCAUUAGAUGUUUUCGUAAAAAAUAGUUAUUUAGGAAAAGUUUCGUGACCCCAAAACUAAACGAAAUCAUUCAUGUUCAAAUGAUAUGAAGUUAGCUUGUUACUACAUCACUAUAGCACAAUCUUGUGGUCCAAAUCUAACAAGGACGUUUGCGGUUUGCAUGAAUAUAAUAAAUUCAUAUAAACUGGUAUUUCUGUAAUCAUUUCUAUUGGAAUAAAACGUAACACAAUCAAUGUCAAAUUUUUAACAAAGGAUGGAGAAAGUAUCAUUCAAAGAAAGGAGCAGUGUAGCCAAAGUGAUGGGGACGAUACUGUCACUAAUAGGCGCAUUUGUGGUGAUUUUCUACCACGGUCCACGUGUCUUUGUCGCAUCUUCUCCACCAUAUCUAAACUUCCGUCAGCUUUCUCCACCGUUGUCAUCGUCAAAGUCUGAUUGGCUCAUCGGAGGAGCUAUUCUUACCAUACAAGGCAUCUUCGUUUCUGUUUCUUUUAUUCUCCAGGUACACCACUUUUUAUAAUAAAAAUAUAGUAGAAACUCUAUAAAUUAAUACUCGAUAAAUUAAUAAACACGAUCAAUUAAUAAAUUAUAUCGGUUCUAAGUCGGGUCAAUAGAAAAAUUAACCAAAAUCGAUAAGAUAAUAAGAUAAUAAAUUUUUUGAAAUCUCUAUGUAAAAAUAUGAUCUUAAUAAUAUCAUAAAUUAAUAAUCAUAAUAUCUUAAGCAUACUUUUUAAAAUAAUCUACUAUAAUAUGAAUUUAGUGUUGCUUGUCUUUUUUUAAAGUUUGAAUCUUGUUGAACUUCAUCUCUAAUUUUCUUUUUAUUGCAUCAAAAACUCCUAGUGUUGUAUUUUCGAUAUGCAUCUAAAAGUUGUGAAGAGUUCUAAACGCAAUAAUUGUUUUCUUACGUGUCACUAUUUCUAAAAGUUUCACAUUAUCGUCUUCAACUUCUUCAUCAACAUUAUAGACAGAAAUCACAAUUUCUUCUAAAUAUUCUAAAUUUUUUAGUGUGCUUUAUUUUCACCGGAAUAGUCGAGUAAGCAAUUGACAUUUAUUCUAUCCAAAAAAUAUAGUGUUAUAUUUUGCUUAAAUAUUUCUUUAAAUUAAUAAAUAUUAAUUUAUCUUAUAAAAUAAUAUCUAUUAAAUAAAUUAAUAAAAUUUUAUAGUCCCAACAUUAUUAAUUUAUAGAGUUUAUACUCUAGUUUCUAAACAUGUAUGAAUGCAUAGCAAACUAGACUGCUUGGAGAAAGCUACACAAAUUGACGUGGUUUAUAUCUUCAUUUAUUAAACAUCAUUUAAUUUAAUUUUAAUGUUUAUUGGAUAGACACAUAUAAUGAGAGAAUAUCCUGAAGCAUUCACAGUCUCCAUUCUCUACAUUCUAUGUAUUUCAAUCGUGACCUCAAUGAUUGGACUAGUAGUCGAAAAGAACAACCCAAGCAUUUGGAUCAUUCAUUUCGAUAUUACAUUGUUUACAAUUGUUACUACGGUAUGUUAUAUAUAUGUUAAAGAAAAUUAUCAAAAUAUUUUCUUUUUGAUCUUAACAUUAAUUUUAUUUUAUAUGUGUAAACUAUUUCAGGGAAUAAUAACUUCAGUAUACUAUGUGAUUCAUUCAUGGGCAAUACGUCACAAAAGACCUCUAUACUUAGCGAUAUUUAAGCCUCUGUCUAUUUUGAUAGCAGUGGUUAUGGGGACCAUUUUUCUCAACGAUUCUCUCUAUCUCGGAUGGUAUACUAAUCAAUAGUCUUCAUACACAUAUCUAUAAAGAAAAAAACCAUUAUGUUCAUUUUUGAUUUUGUCCUUCAUUUUGCAGUUUGAUUGGAGGAAUUUUGAUAACAUUAGGCUUUUAUGUUGUGAUGUGGGGCAAAGCAAACGAAGAGAAGAACAAGUUGUUAUCAUUUUCAGGAAAAGAGAAAACCCCUCUUCUAUUGAGCGGCAAAAACGACCAAAUUUAAAUGAAAAAAAAUUUAUAAUCAAAGGAGUUACAAACUCUGAAAUAGUCUCUUAUAUACAUAGCGUGCAAACUAUUAGUGUAUACUGUGUAUUGCUUUGUAUAUAACUUAGAAAAUGACUAUCUAAUUGUUUUUUAAGUUACGGGUACGUAACGACUAUCUAAAUUCGUUAGAUCACGACAUCUAACGAAUUUUGGUCGAUUUUAAGUAGUAUCGAUUUAAAGAUUUGUAAGUUAAUUAAGCAGCCAAAUAGAGGCAUUGGAAAACAAAUGAAAAUAUUUCUGAUAGUAACACUGGAGAGGUAGGACGAGGUAGGAUCAAUACAUGGUCAACCAUUUGCUUAAGAAAUGACUACAAAAGAAAAUAUAUAUUUUUACAAGAGAGAUUAAAUGGUUUGUUAACAUGAUCAUGUGAGUUUGGUGAACGGUUUUAUAGAAACAGAAACACUUUCUUUAAAAUUCUUGCAUUAUCGGUUUUUACUAUCACUAUAUUGUAAGUUUUGCAACAAUAAUGAUCUUUAAGAAAGAAAAAUUGUACUGAUACUUUUAAUUUUUUUUUAAGUUUCUUUGAACCUAGCAUGUAUAGAGUGGUUGGGAAAAGGAAACAAAGGUGUAGCUUUUUGAUUUCUUUUGUUCCUUGUACUACAAAAUUCAUACAUAAAUUCUCAAAUUCUAGAGAGAGAUUAAAUACUGAGUUAACACUUUUCCUCAACUCCAACAUAUGGAAACUUAAAUUGAUGUUUUAGGUUCGAUUAGUAACACAAAAUAUUAUGUAUUUUACCAAAAAAAAUAAAUGAUAAAGAAUACCAUAUUAAUUAAAAAUGAUAUAAAAUAACGAUAAAAUAUCAAUAUUAAAAUGAAAAUACAGUCUUAUGUCCUUUUUAGUGCCGUUUUAUGAUUGGUAAAAACGAUAAAUCUUAUUCAUUUUUCACCAAAAGAAUAAAGAAUAUUAUAAAGUCAACAAACGAUAAUUAUUGGACCUACAUAAUGCUAUUCUUUAUAUUUGUAACAUCAAGAAAAGCAACAAAAAGAUAAUGAAUUAAAGAAUCACAUUUCAUACAACCUUUCUAUCAUUUUCCAAUAAUGGCCCGGACAGUAAGUCUCUGGCGGAGAGAGGCCGUGUUCUUGACGGCCAUGCUGGCGACAGAAACCGGCGUAGUCGGAAUAAGUACUUUGUUUAAAGUAGCAACUUCAAAGGGACUCAAUCUUUACGCUUUCCUCGGCUAUUCUUAUCUUCUUGCUUCUCUCCUUCUUCUUCCUUCUCUGUUCUUCACCGACAGGUUUCUAGUAACUUUAUGAGUUUAUUUUCAUAAACAUUUGGUGGUAUUGAUUUCAUUUAUUUAUUUUUUGUUUUUCUUUACAGGUCAAGAUCACUUCCUCCACUAAGUUUGUCAAUACUUUCUAAAAUAGGACUUCUUGGAUUGCUAGGGUAAAAACUCUUACUAACGCAAUCUUUUUUCCAAUCUUAAGUAUGAAAUUAUGUUCCUAUUUGCUAAACAUGUGAUUUUUUGGUGGACAAUCUAAUAAAUGGUUUUGGCUGACAAUAAAAAUGAACAGAUCAAUGUAUGUGAUCACAGGAUACAUAGGCAUCGAAUACAGCAGCCCAACCUUAGCCUCUGCCAUUAGCAAUAUCACUCCUGCUCUUACCUUCAUCCUCGCCAUUAUCUUCAGGUUUGAUAUCUAUAUUUUUUUUUCCAAUUAUUUGCAGAUUUCAGAUUGUUCUAAAAGCAAACUAUUCUAGUUCAGGUGUCGAAAUCGAAACAUUUUCUUUCCCGGGCACAAUUGGCUAAAUAAGUCAACUUAAAAUUGAAUAUUGUUUUUUUAGUUCACCAAAUUAAGUUUUUUAAAGUCGGGUCAUGUUACUAUGUUAGGUUUUACAAACCAAUAUAUUUUGCUAACCAAGCUUUUCCUAAUUUGGUAAUUCCUAGUUGCCCUAUGCGGCUAUGCUACCCACUAUCUCAGAUAAAUAUACUGUAUAAACGUACUGUAUAGUGAAUUAGGUAAACGACGAGUAGUGAAAAUUUAAUUAUAAAUAAAUCCAACUCUUUAAUUAUAUCAUUACGUUGCAUUAAACAACCACAGUAAACAUAAUAAAUUGUUAUUGAAGCGCAAUAUUCUCCGUUAUAAAUAAACGUAUUGAUUAGUAAUACUCUUAUGUUUCUUAUUAAUUAAUAUUUUAGGAAAAAAUUUGUUACUAAAAAAUUGAUUUUUAAGCUUUUUAUUUAAUAUUAAUUAUUUCUUAUUGAUAAAUAUUAAACUCCAAAAUAAAUAAAAUAUUAUUGAUUUUGAAUUAUUAAAAAUAUAAAUCAUAAAAAAUAAUACAUUUAUAAUUUGUUUUUAAUAGGUUUUCUUAAUAUGUGUAUUUUUCCAAAAAAUCAAAUAUUAAGAAAUAUUAUCUUAAGGAGAUUAGCAAAACUACCUUUUUUACUACUUUUUUGCAACAAUACCUCUUUAUGUUGUCCAUUUUACAAAAUAUCUCUUUCCUUGAACAGAAUGACCGAAUUACUCUCAUCUAAUAGGAACAUGUAAUUGGAAACUGAAAUUUUUCCGCCAAACUUUUUUUCUGCCAAAAAACAAAUUUCCCGCCAAUUUGUUUUUUUGUAACAAUUUUUUUCUCAACUAAAAUAUGCUUUUAAAAAUCCUUGUAAAUAUUUUUUGGCGGAAAAUAGAUUUACAAGGGAUUUUAAAAUGGUUUUAAAAUAUUUACAAUGGAUUUUAAAAGGGUUUUAAAAGAUUUACAAAGAUAUUAAAAGGUUUUAAAAAGAUUUACAAGAGUUUUUAAAGGGUCUUUUUGUAAAUUCUUUAAAAAUCUUUUAAAAACCCUUGUACAUCUUUUAAAACCCUUUUAAAUCCUUUAAAAAUCUCUUGUAAAUCGUUUAAAACCCUUUUGAAAUCCCUUGUAAAUCUUUCAAAACACUUUUAAAACAAUUUUAAAUCCUUUAAAAAUCUUAAAAAAAACUUUUGUAAGUCUUUUAAAACCCUUUAAAAUCCCUUGUAAAUCUUUUUAAGCCCUUUUAAAAUUUCUUGUCAACAUUUUAAAACCUUUUUAAAAUCCCUUGUAAAUCAUUUAAAACUCUUUUAAAAUUCCUUGUAAAUAUUUUAAAACCCUUUUAAAAUCUCUUAUAAAUCUUUGAAAACCCUUUUAAAAUCCCUUGUAAAUCUAUUACCCACAAAAAAAAACUCUUUUUGCGGGAAAAUGUUUUUUAAAAAAAAACUUUUGGCGGGAAAAUAUUUUGAUUGGAAACUUUUGGCGAGAAAUUUAUUUUGAAAUAGUUUAGGCGAAAAAAAUAUUAAUAUUUCAUUUUAUUAAUCUAAAACAAUUUUUAAAUAUGGAUAAAAUGAUAAUUAAAAAUUUAAAGAGAAUAAAAUUAAAAUGGCUAAAAAAUAAGGGUAAAGUUGAAAAUGAACACCAAAAAAAGGAUAUUAGAAAGAAUUUUUCUAUAUCUUACUGUGAAAUUUAGUACCCCAAAAGUAAAAAAGUAAGUUACUGUUACACAUAAACUCCACAAAAAGGCUUGCAUAUAAACGUUGGUAAAUAAAUCAUAAAUGUCAGCAUCCCUGUUUGUUUGAAAAAAAAAAAAAAACUGUUUGUUUGCAUUUCAACAAGAUGCGUAUGAAUUCUUCUUUCUUUGACUAUUUAUACCUUUCUUUUUAUUUUGGAAUCCAUAAAAUAUAACACAAAUUUUUAAUUUGUGGAUAAAGAAUGGAAAAAGUAUCUUUCAAAGAAAGGAGCAGUGUAGCCAAAGUGAUGGGGACGAUAUUGUCGUUAAUAGGCGCACUUGUUGUGGUUCUCUACCAUGGUCCACGUGUCUUUGUUGCAUCUUCUCCGCCGUAUAUAAACUUCCGUCAGCUUUCUCCGCCGUUAUCAUCUUCAAAUUCAGAUUGGCUCAUCGGCGGAGCUCUUCUUACCAUAAGAGACAUCUUUGUUUCUGUUUCUUUCAUUCUCCAGGUACAAAUUUUUGUUCUUAUACAUAAUAGAAAUAAUACAAAGUGUUGGAUAUGUUCCAUGCAAAAGAGACUAAUUUUGUUAUCGGAGGCAGAAUUUUUAAAAUACAACAGACUUAACCGAGGAAAAUUAGUUCAACCGUAAACCCACUGGAUCCUCGAACCUAGGCCAAAUAGAGAAUCUAACUUGAAAACAAAAACCCGUAAAGAAUUACCCCAUACCAGCAAAACUCAUGUGCUAUCACAAAACAACGUACCAUCAAAUUCUAGGUUAAUCAAUAGAUGAUGGCAGGCCUGGCCCGCCAAUAAAGCAGGAAAGCAACUGUUUUAAACCACACAAUGUAGUCUAGUGGUUAGACUUUCUAUAACUUAGUCCCGAUUCACAAGUUCGAGCUUUUACUAAUAUUAUUUGCUCUAUUUGUUUUUGCAUUCCUUUUCAUCCUUUUUUUCUUUUUCCAAUCCACAUAUUUUAGUUAUGUUUGAGGCCACUUAAAGUUAAGGACCGGCCCUCGAUGAUCGAGUUGGUCAUAGACCAAUCACUAUUUACUUACCUAUAGAAGAAAACUCUCAACCAUAAACAUUGGAUGUUAAAACUAGAUAUAGGCAUACAGGAAGAGGCGGCCAUGGGGUCAAGCAAGACAAGCAUGUUUGAAGUCGAAAUAAAUAAAUAUAUAUAUAUGUAAGAGUAUGAUAAAGUGACUAAUAAGGUGUCAAGUGGUCCGUUUAACGUCCAAUAGGUUUGACCAUUUGGACCAUUUUUUUUUUGGGGUUUAAUGAACGGUCCAUAAUGGUUUAUGGUCCAAAAACUUGUCCAAAUCCAUGAAGGAUAACCAUGUCCAUUGGAUAUGUCCAUGGUCGUCCAUUACUGUACAAGCUUCCUGUUUGAUUCAAAUUCAUCUCAAUUCAUCUCAACCGCAUGAUAGUGUUGGAUUCUAAGAGUACUAAUAUCAGUGAUAUGUGCGAAGUUGGAGUCCCAUUAUAACCUUUUGCCGAAAAUAUAUAAUUUUUCACUAAUAAGAGGCCCUAGUAAUUAUUGUUUUGCUUGGAGUCAUGAAACUCGUAAAGCCAGCUCUGGAAAUAGCUGGGGUUUUGAAGUUAAUCAACUAUCUUCAUACAUCAAAUAUCAAAUUUUGUUUUUUGAAAGAAGGUUGAACAUGCAUAUAUAAUUUCAAUGUUUAUUCUAUAAAAUGUAUUUGGCCAGGCAAAAAUAAUGAGUACAUAUCCAGCAGCAUUCACAGUCUCCUUCCUCUACAUUGUAUCGGUUUCAAUCGUGACUUCAAUGAUUGGACUAGUAGUGGAAAAGAACAAUCCAAGCGUUUGGAUCAUUCGAUUUGAUAUUACUUUGAUAACAAUUGUAACUAUGGUACGUUGUACAUAAUUUUAAAAGAUUACCAAUAUAUUUACUUUUGAUCUUAACCUAGUAUUUUAUAAAACAUUUCAGGCAAUAAUUACUUCAGUAUACUAUGUGAUCCAUUCAUGGACAGUACGUCACAAAGGACCUCUAUACUUAGCGAUAUUUAAGCCUUUGUCGAUUUUAAUAGCGGUGGUUAUGAGCGCAGUUUUUCUCAACGAUUCUCUCUAUCUCGGAUGGUAUGUGAUCACUCAUCAAUUGUCUUCAUUAAUUAUACACAUUUAUAAACAAAAACAUUUUCAAGCUUUUGCUUCAUUUUGCAGUUUGAUAGGAGGACUAUUGAUAACGUUGGGGUUUUACGCUGUGAUGUGGGGUAAAGCAAACGAAGAGAAAGAUCAAUUGUUGUUAGUUUCAGGAAAAGAGAGAACCCCUCUUCUAUUGAACGGCUAAAAUGGCCAAAUUAGAAUUAAAAAUAAAUUAGAACUAAUUUACAUAUUCUUAGCCACACUUUUGGGUAAUGUGUACAUGUAUAUUACUACUGUAUUUCAUGUUGCGCUUUGUUUAUAACUUGAAUAAUUGUUUUAACCAUGAAGUAAAGACACUCUAUAUCCAUGGUUAGUAAAUAAGGUAAAUUGCGUACAGUAGCCGUUGACCCACUUUUAAUUUCAAAUUUUGACACUGUGGGCUGGGCAUUUCAUUUCUUAGCCAUUCAGCCAAAAACUGACCAAAAUGCCCUGACGAAACUGAACCCGGUUUGUACGUACGGACCGCGUCGCUGGAAUCCAAGAGAACCGGGUUUGUACGUACACUGUUCAUCGACGAGAAAUGCAUUAAAUAUUUUCUGGGUUUCGGCGAAUUUGACACUUGAGAUUGAAAUUAAAAUUUUUAAAAAUUGGUUGGGCUCAGAAGUUUUUAAUGCUAAAAAGUUUUGACAAAACUAAAACUCAUGAUUACCUAUUAUAAUAUAGAUUAUAUUGUAAGAUAUUUACAUAAUUGAGAUUAGAAUUCUGGGAAAAAAACGAAAAUCAAAAUUGUGUUACGGUGAAGAAUCUGAAGUUUUUAGUUGCUGUUUUACAAAGUUUGAAGGAUUGAAGGGGAGACAAUCUGUGUUCUAGGUAAGAAAUUCGUGUUAAUCCUAUUAAUUACACUUGAGAACGUGAUAUGAAAGUAAUGAUACGUUUUUAAAAAUUUUUGAGUUCAUAAAUUGUUUUGUUGGAGAUCUUUUUGUAUUUGUAGAUAUAAAUGUAAGCUCUUUGAUCUGUUUUGUUAAAUUUAUAAGUACAUAAAUUAUUUUGUUAGAGAUUCUUUUUGUCUUUGUUGACAUAAAUGAAAGCCUUCAAAAAGAUCUGAUUUUUUUGUAUUUAAUGUUGUUCUGACCUGAGGAAUUUAUGUUGCAGGUAUGGAGUUACCUGUAUUAAUUAUGGUUGGUGAGUGGAUAUACAAAGAAGAAGGUUGGAAAUUUGAAGCUGAAAAAGGAAGUUUCGGACGCUGUGUACGUAUUACAGACACAACGACGUACACGGAUUUGGCAAGUACAAUAUGUGAUGUUUUCAGCUAUAAGUUUAGUGAAUGGAACCCUAUAAUAAGUUACUGGAUGCCUGGAAAGAUGUCUAAUAUGAUAGCAAGUAAUCGCCCUCCAGUAUAUAUUGAGAAUCAAAUCAGCAUGGAUACAUUUAUGUUGAUUCGUAAUGGCGAUCCUUCUGUUAACUUGUUUGUGUCUUUUUACCCUAUCGGCAAGGGAGGCCAUACAGAGACAGAGGUUACAAAUGUUGAUGCAGCUCAUAAUUUUUACGAAGAUAUAAAUGUAGAUGAGGAGGAUGACAUAGAUGAAGGUGAUGAGAAUGAAUAUGAGGACGAGGAUAAUGAAGAGGACGAAGAUAUGGAUGUACAUGACGAUGACACCGAUGGUGAAAGCCGUGAAAUUACCCUCGACCCUACAGUAGACGGUAGUGAAGGUAGUGGCGGAGAUUACGAUUACAAUAAAUGGGGUGACAUGAUUGUGGAACAAUAUGGAAAUGGUCAUGUUGAGGAGGACGUCGUGAAUGACACUCAACAAACCGUGGAACCCCCAAGGGAAUUCACUCGUCUAUUGGCAUCGUGUACGUCGACGGGUACACAUGUACCUCAUGUAGAACCCACUGGUGUUUUGGUUGACACUACACCAACCUCUGCUCCAUCCCCGACGUGUCAACAUGGUUUGUACCAAUGUACGUACACUAGAGUCUGUGCAGAGGAGACAAGAUGCGAAGGUGAAUUAGUUGAGCACACGGAUGAUAUAGCUGAGAACGUAACUGGAGAUGAUGGUAUAGUCGGAUGGAGUAUACGCGCUUUUGUGGUCAGGGUGUUUCAAAAAUGCGUGGGAAUAAAUGAGUUCGACCUGGGUCUCAUCUUGGCAGAUAAUCGAGUAAUAUUUCGCCAAUGUGUUUAUAACUUUUUUACUUUCACAUACCGUACAUGUCACUAAUCAUGAUGAUUUGUUGUAGGGAAUGCGUUCCCGCAUAGAGGCUACCAUUAAUCGUCGCCUUGCUUCAUUUUACUCUGGCCGUAAUAAUAUAUGCGUACACUAUAGUAAUGUGUACGUACACGGUAGUAAUGUGUACGUACACCGGAGUAAUGUGUACGUAUACGGGAGUAAUGUGUGUAUAUAUGUACGUAAAUAUCUAAAUAAUUUGUAUAUUUACGUUUCAAAUUUUUUUUGACCAUAAAAUCAAAACAUUCAAAUCAUGUAUGAACAACACAUGAAAAAAGUACAUGAAACUAACAUAUAUAUCAAAUUUGUUGUUGUGGGUGGUUAGAUAUUUAUUAGGAUUCGUACAUAUACGUUCCAUUAAAUAAUUUUGUGUACGUACAUUAUAAAUUAAAUAUAUAUACAUGAAGAAAUCCGAUGAAAGGUAUAACUGUAAUUUUCCAGUCAUCUUUAACCUAAGUAUCCUUUUCUACAUUUGAGUGUCACUAAUGAACAUGUUCUUGAUUGAAAAAGCAUCAAUUAUUUAGAAAAGAAUUAAGUCAUUCAAUCAUUUGUGAGUCCUAAACGGGAGAUAAGACAUGAUUUUUGGAAUAAUAUAAGCACACUACUAACUAUGUAUCCGGUAUAGUAUUGAAAGGUAAAUAUUUUACGUACAUGAAUACGUAUAGUUAUGAAAGCCCUGCAGUUUAGUAUUGGAAAAUAGGUUUUACCUGAAUCAGACUACGAUUCGUUGAAUAUCAUAUUUGCAUAAUUUAUAUUGAGAUAUAUAGCCAUAUAAAUAACUUAAUUUUGAUGUCAAAAAAUUAGAUUAAUGGUGUACCAUGUACGCUCCAAUAAAUAUUUUUGUGUACGUACAUAAUAUAAGACUUAUGUGAUUUAGGCAUUCUUAGGAUAUAAAUGUUUGGAGAGGUCAUACACGUGUACGUGUAUCUCAAUAUUAUCGUGUACGUCUACGGGUUUAGUUUUAAAUCUUACCUAUUCUCAACAAAUAAUAUCGUAUAACAUAACGCUUACUAAAGAAUGUCAAAAUAACAAUUAAAUAGAAACAACAACAUCAAAACAAAAAAUAUCAUAUAUAUCGUACUAAAUACAUAACAUUUGGCUAACUCGCCGUAUGCACCAUCGUAGAUACCAAACAUUACAAAAAUUCGUCAAUAUUGUAAAUAACAAUGUCUUCAUCUCUAGUAGGACUAUAGUAGAAUAUACCCUCACCAUCGUCAAUAUUGGUUUAUUAUUGUAUCAAUAAAUAUAUCUCAACAAUUUUAACUCAUGAAAAGAUGUACGUACAUCAUUUUUCAAAAGUAUUAAGAAUAUCUAUACUUUGACUAUAUAUUUUUACUUAAUUAUUAUAUAUGCAUAGAUUUUAUGGAGAAAACUCCGGAAAUAUCUCAUCUAAUCAAAAUAACCAAAGCCGUACCAUGUCACAUAUGUAAACAAUAUCUCUCGGGAUUGGCUCGUUUGAGUCUAUAUUAAUAUCGGUUGACAAAAAAAAAACAAAAAAAAAAAACAAAGAUUUAUAAUGUACAAACUCAAUAUAUAAUUGUGUAUACCGCUUUAACAAUAAAACAUAAUCUAUUAUAUUUACAUGUCCACAUGUACGUACACCGUAAAUUACAUAUACGUACACAUAAGAAAUUUAUUGAAGGGUAUAAUUAUAAUUUUGCAUUCGUCUUCAACCUCUGCAACCCUAAUUUUGCACUCUUCUUCAACCUCUGCAAUUUUAAUUUUGCACUCUUCUUCAACCUCUUACCCUUACCCAUAAUUGUCGUCGCCGACGAUGAUACAUUAACUUCCGAAACUCCUCGCCGCCGACUACUCUUCUUCAUCUCUGCCAUUUUAGUAUGAUAACCAGAAAAUCCUCUUUUUGUUAGACACUUUAAAACGAACUCGAUCGAAAUUUUCUCCACUCAAGCAAAGACUCGAACUCGAACAGAGCCUCAAUCGGAAUUGGGUUUAAGUUUUGUCGGAAUUUUUAUGCGUCUUCGAAUACGGAGUUCGUCGAAACUGUUCUGCGUUUCUCGAAGACAGUUUUUGAUUUUAUUUUAAGUUUUAAAAUUAUUUACAUUUUUAUUUAUUUAAUUUUAAAGAUUUAAAAUUAUUUCCGUAACCAGAAUACAAAGGAACGAAACUGAACAGUUUUCUUUCAUUUCUCGUUCCAGGGCAGAUUCGUCCAAUUAAGCCCAAGUGGCUAAAAGCUGGUUGGCUCAAUCCACUUUACCUCUUCGUGAAAAAAAAACUGAGAAAAGUGUUAACGGUGAAAUUUUCUUUAGUAAAUAUUUAUAGAUAUGACCUUUAACUUAUUAUAUAGAAAAUAAAAGUUGACAUUAUAUGUCUCUUGUUUGAGAACAGUUUCUGUAUCUCUCUCAUUUUUUUUUUUUAAUCCAUUGUGUAUUUGUGAGGAACGCUUUGUUUAAGAGUUUGUCCAUCUUCAAGCGUUACAAAAACACUCGAGGUUUUAUAAUUGAUAAAAUCUUUGGCCAUUUGGUCGGAAUUUGUGAACACGACUUCUCAAUUCCAAGAGAGUUAAAAGAAAAACCACACUUGAGAAAGUCCAAUAAGCAUAGGCAAAUUUAAAUAUCCAAAUUAUCAUUUCACGUAUAACAAGGAGAGACCAAAUGAUAGAAUGGCCCACCAAAAUUUCAAUUAUUUUUGAGACUUAAUCAUCAUUUUGGUCACAAGAUAUACAAAAUACUCUCCUGGAUUUUUAUCAUGAGUCAUUCCACACACUAAGCUUUAUAUCUUUUGACUUGCCGACAAUGGCCUCCAUUACUCUCCGUCGGAGAGACGCCGUGUUAUUGACGGCCAUGUUGGCGACUGAAACCGGAAAUGUGGCUAUGAAUACUUUGUUUAAAGCAGCGACUUCAAAAGGCCUUAAUUCUUAUACCUUCCUCAUCUAUUCUUAUCUCAUUGGCUCUAUUGUUCUUCUUCCUUCUCACAUCUUCUCUUAUAGGUUUCUAAAUAACAAUCUUUUUGUUAGUUAAUAAACCCUGUUUGAUUGAUUCUUGUUUUGUCAAAAGUUUUCAUUUGAUUACUUGUGCAUUCUUUUGCAGGUCAAGAUCACUUCCUUCACUAAGUCUUUCAAUUCUCUGUAAAAUUGGAGUUCUUGGGCUGCUAGGGUAAAGCCAACUACACUUCUUGUUCUUCUUCAACUUUUGAAUGUAAUUAUUUUCCUAAUUGUUGGUAAAGAAAUUUUUAUUAACCUGAAAAUGUUUCUAAUAUACUUUACUUUUUGCUAAAUGUGAAUAUAAAUGAACAGGUCAACGUAUCUGAUCACAGGAUUCAUAGGCAUCGAAUACAGCAACCCAACCUUAGCUUCAGCCAUUAGCAAUAUCAAUCCUGCCAUUACCUUCAUCCUUGCCAUUAUCUUCAGGUUUUAUUUUAAUCCAUUUACCUUUUUUUCUUACAAUUAUGAAUUGUUAAUUAGUAACGUCAGAAAUUUUCUACCUAUUAACAAAAAAAAAUAUAAAAACUUUUGUUUCUCGUUAAUAAGUAUUUAAUUGUUAAUUAGUAUUUAAUCCAUGAUUUUUUGGGUUAGUUUUAUAAAGAGAAUAUUAAUUCAGAUAACACAGAUAUGAUUAUUUAAUAAAGGUGAGCUGUUUUGUAGAUUAACACAGAUAAGACACUUGAAUCAUCAGUUUGUAAAAUAAAUAAAUAAAUUUUGUACUUAAUUUACAUGUUUAAUAAUUAAAUUCAGAAUUUCGAUAGCAGUUUUUCAAAGUUUAAUUAUAUAUUGUUAGAUCUACAUCAGGUUCAGGAAAAUGACAGGAAUAAAUAACGACAAAAAAAAUGACAGGAAUAAUUGUGUGGCACAUGUUAGUCAGGUUCAUAUUUUUAAAAUGGACAUUAGCUAUAAUGUAACAUCAGGUCCUAUUUGUGAUGUUCUAAAUAAAAACAAUUUUUUAGGUUUUUGUAACACUAAUAUUUUACUUUGAUUUUAAUCAAUUUGAUGUAUAAAGAAUUUCAGAAUUUUUAUUUAUCAGAAGAAGGUUUGGUAUGAUCAAAAGAAAGUUUGAGGUUUGUUUUUUUCCUGAAAUUGAUCAGUUUGGAAGUUUUGAACCGAUUUUAACUACUUACAGAACAAUAUUUAAAUUUUGCGGAUCCAUUUUCAAAAAAUAAAUCAAAACUUAAAUUUAAGUUUUGAACUUUAUAAUAAUCGCAUUUUCAAAAAAUGCCUAACUAAGUCGUUUCUUUUGUGAGAUACAGAGGAGGCCAUAUGAGCCCCGAAACACAUUAUAAUCUUGAACAUAUAGGAACAUGGAGGCUAGAGCACAUAUAUAUGGUACCCUUAUUUAUUAUACAGUAUUAUUGAUUUAAGUAGUAGUCACAAUGUUUAUCGGUUCUUGGAGAAACUAGAACAAAACAAACCACAAAAAUCCCAGUUUUGUAGUUAUACAUUUUUGUAAAACCUAAUCCUUUUCAUUUUUAAUUAUUUAAAAUUUAAGUACAAAAACAAAACUCGAGAGAGUGAAAGCCUACCAUAUAAUUUUAGGUGCGAAACCCGGAAAGACAACUAAAAAUCCAGAAAUACCAAAUCUUUCCUCUUAAUUUAGAGUACACAAUAAAUCCACCACAAUUUUUUUUAAUGGGGCUAUUCUGAGAACCGAACCACAAAAACACAAUGUCUCAAAACAUCUUUUGGGAUGAUUAAAAAAAAAAGUUUGUGAGUUUCUAUUAUUCUUUAAUGUAUUAAAUAUAUAUUUGUUUAAGAGAAGUGGAAAUAACUACAUUUUUAAAAUUAUUUUUAUUUAUUACUGUGUCAAGUUUUAUUACAAAUUUCAUAGGUGAUAGCAAUUUUGAAAAUUUUCAUUUGUAUGAUUAAAAUGAAUUGCUUUUUCCAUUUAGCAAAAUAUUUGAUCAUUUAAAUAUUUAUCAUGUUUUCUAUUUGUGAAACAAAAAAAUAGAAUGGAGAAAGCAUCUUUCAAAGAAAAGAGUAGUGUAGCCAAAAUGGUUGGGACAAUAGUUUCACUAGUUGGCGCACUUGUGGUAGUUCUCUACCAUGGUCCACGAGUCUUCACCCCAUCUUCUCCACCAUUUCCACAACUCCGUCAGCUUCUUUUGCCGUUAUCAUCCUCAAACUCGGAUUGGAUCAUCGGUGGUUGUCUUUUAGCCAUCAAAGACACCCUCGUUCCUGUUGCUUUUAUUCUUCAAGUAAUAACAUAUUAAUUCUCUUAACUUGAUACAUCAUACAUACUUGCAUGUACAUAAACUAAAUUUUCCUUAUAGUAGAUUAAUAUUGAAUUGGACAGGCACAUAUAAUGAAGUUAUAUCCAGCACCAUUCACGGUCUCUUUCUUCUAUUUUCUGAUUGCUUCAAUCUUGACGUCAUUGAUCGGAAUCGUAGCAGAAAAGAACAAUCCGAGCAUAUGGAUCAUUCAUUUUGACAUUACAUUAGUUUGCAUAGUUGUUGGGGUACGUAAAUUUUAAUAUUUUAGAAAACUUAAUUAUAUCUUAAACUUCUUUUCAAUACUAUAGCUAUUUUUCGCAGGGAAUAUUUAAUCCAGGAUAUUACGCGAUUCAUCUGUGGGCAGUACGUAAUAAAGGACCUGUUUACUUAGCUAUAUUCAGACCUUUAUCGAUUUUAAUAGCAGUGAUUAUGGGAGCGAUUUUUCUUGGAGAUUCUUUUUACCUAGGAAGGUAUAUGUAUAUAUGAAUCAAUAAUCUUCAGACACACUUGUUUGUGAAACAAGAAAAACCACACAUCUAAUCUAAUGGUUUCUUGUUAUGUGGUUAAUGUUGCAGUUUGGUCGGAGGGAUUUUGAUAUCGUUAGGGUUUUACACUGUGAUGUGGGGAAAAGCAAAAGAAGGGAAGACUCAGUUCUUGUCGCUGUCAGAGGAAACUCCUCUUCUAGACGAAAACAUAGACGACCGAAUAUAGAUUUACAAGAAUAUUGGAAACGAUGAUUUAAUUAAUAUGAUUAGCUCUUUGUAGAAUGUGUUUGUGUUGAUCGAGAUUAGGAGCACUCUAUUAGUAACAAUAAAAUGUUCUAUAUAGCUUUGUAACUGAACAUUGAACAAUAUAUUUUGUUACUCAUUUUUGAACACAUGUUACGGACAAAUGUUUUUGAAUAAUAUGAAAAUAGAUUGAGAGAGUUGGGAAAAUUGGAGGAAGAAGAAGCGACAAACCUGUCGCUACCUUCAUCAAGAAUCAUAAUAUCAGUGACCUCUCCCCAUGAAGAGAAAUGUUUACAAAGGCUAAUCAUGAUAUCAUCUUUAGAAAGCGAAUACUCAUAUCACAGGGAAAAACCUAAUAAUUUGACUGCGGGAGACAAUAUUAUCAUGUGAAAAAAAAAAAAAAAAUUAUCAACAAGACAAAAUUACAAAAUAUUAAAUUAAUAAAUAAUCUCGUUUAACUAUAAAAUCAAAUUUUAAUAUUUUUGUAUAAAUUCGAACCGAUAUUUAAUUUCUUUAUGUUGUAAAACAUAAACGCAAACUGUUUUUUUUUAUAAAUUCGAACUGAAAUUUAAUUUUGUUUAAUUGUAAAAUUUAAAUUAAUUUAUAAAUUCAUAUAUAAACUAAUAUAUAACUCGAUUUAAUGACAUAUUAGACUUUAUAAUUAAAAUGAAUUUAAUUUUUUGUAGAUGGUAGAUUUUAGGGUCUUUUGUAAAACUAACAUAUUUUGAUAAAGUAUUUAAGAAUAUAGCAGUAUAAUAUGGUAAACUAAAUAAAUAGCACACAUGAGAGAUGAAAUGUCUAAAUACUCCUUCAUGUUUGUUUCAGUGUGUAGACACACGGGCGUGAGAUUGUAAGCUGAUGAUUUCAUGUGUUAUAGAGAGUGGAGAGAAAUGAGAGUUUGUGAGUUUGGUAAGCACACAAGACGAGAAAAAAGGUGGGAUAAGGAGAGGUGAUGGUGGUGUGGGCAACGACGACGGUGAUGGUGUGGGCAACGACGGUGGUGAUAUUGAUUGCAGUGGUGGUCGUCGCGGUGGUGGCGGUGACUCUGAUUUCAACACCAUAUUGCAGCACAAUAAAAUAAAAAAAGCAAUUAAUUCCAGAAAUCAGAUACUACAUUCUCUAAUGUACCAAACAAUGCAAAAGUAAUAUCUGCAAAUCGUGGAUGUCAAUUUUUGUAUCUAGAAGUGAUAUAGUUUUUACUAAAGUCUAAAGACUCAUACUAUUUAGUAAUUUUUGGAUAAAUAGUAUACUAUUUACAUCAAAUCUAUGGUUUCUGUUAUAGUCCUGAUUUCUCACUCCUAAUCAUCAAAGUUCAUGAAUCGACACUUGUCGAUUUGAAUCAGAUCUGUUUCAGAAGUAGAUCAAUCGAAUGGGAGUUCGAAAUAUGGUGUUUGUGAGAAGGAGAGUAAAUGAAAGAGACACUAGAAAGAGCGAGAGAGAGGAUAAGAAACACAUAGAGGCGGAUAAAGGAG
Molecule: long non-coding RNA, 45107 nt
Filed under: Arabidopsis thaliana (thale cress)
Lineage: Eukaryota; Viridiplantae; Streptophyta; Magnoliopsida; Brassicales; Brassicaceae
Description: long non-coding RNA (ATHA_LNC000131)
Source: RNAcentral